UAAAAAAUAAUCAUCUAAAAUUGUAUAAUUUGCGAAAUAACCAUAUCAAAUUCAGAUUUGGCAAACUAACUCUUGAAACACGGUGAAUCAUUCACCGCAUUCUAAAAGUCUCUAAGAUUUUUAAAGGCAGUGAAUCGUUCACCGCAUUCAUUUCGCAUUCAUUAAAACGGUGAAACGUCUUCUUCAUAAUUUUUUUAGGAAAGAGAAAAAAAUGAGGUUGUUAAAAUUGUACGUAUAUUGUACGUAUGUAAAUAAAAAAAAAAAGUAAGAUUGUUAGGAUUGUAUGUGAAAUAUUAGAAUAUUUGUUUGAUUGUGUUGAUGCCAAAAAAUCAACACGCCGACCUAACCCACGUAUAAGUCAAAGAAAUAAGGACACGUGAUACACCAAGAGUCGGCAAUAAAGCGCCUGAAGGUCAAGAGCGUUUAAAGGUUAAGAGCGUUUAGACGAGAACGAUUGAGAAGUGGGGCGUAACUUCCAAGAGAAGUGGGGCGUAACUUCCAUGAUCAUGACUACACCACUUCCCCCACUACUAUAACCAAUAACCAACCAAUAAUGUGGGCUGAUAAGAUAUUAUAAAUAAUAACUUUGAAGUCUAUAAUAAGGGUCUUUCUCUCCUCUCCUUUGAACGAGAAGACCACCGCAUUUUCAAUACUUUUCUUUCCUACAUUUAUUAUUUUCUAGGAGUAGUUUACAUGUAAUCUUUUUUACCGGCAUUUAUUGUUUUCUUAAAAGUAGUUUUUAAGUUAGAUCUUUGGUGCGUGUUUGGUUCAAAGUUGGAGUCGGAGUCAGAAUCGGAAUCAAAAUAAGCUGAAAUCGGAAUCGAAAUGACUCAUUACCAAAUUCUGUUUGGUUCAUCACCUGAAUCGGAAUCGGAAUAAAUCAUUCCCAUUGUCGAUAUUUGAUUCAGGUGGAUAUAAAAAACGUAAUCAAAUUAAUAUAUUAACAUUAUCUUUAUAAUAUAUUAAUUUAAAUUCAAAUUAAAAAUUAAAUAUUAAAAAUUUAUAUCAAAAUUUUGAAAUAAUGUCAAAAUUUUAAAUCUAUUUUUUUUAGAAAAAAAUUAAACUUUGAAGUUGAGUGGAUAAUUCAAAUUAUAAAACUAAAAUUUGAUUUAUUCAAAUUUAAACUAAAAUUACAAUUUAAAUUUUAAUUUGAAUCCAUAAAUUUAAUUUAAGUUUGAAAUAAAAUUUGAAUAAAACUUUAUAUAAAUUAAAAUUUAAUUUAAAUUCAAAUUCAUAAGUUAGAUUCGAAAUACUUGAUUAAAUUUUAAUUUUUAAUUUAAGUUCAAAUUAAAAUUUAAAAUUAUAUAUUUAAUUUUUAAAUUUUAACUCAUAUUGUAAUUAAAAAAGUUGAAAAAAUAAAUUUAAUCCGAAUAAAUAUCCAUUCCAUCCGGCCUCCUAGGCCGGAUUGAAAAAUGAGGUGAUUGGGGGAUUCUCAUUCCACUCGGGAAUCGUAAUCGGAAUGAGACCCCCGCGUAUCAAACACCUACAAACGGAUUCACCUAUUCCGAUUCCGAUUCCGAUUCUAUGAUGAAAAAAAAGCGAACCAAACACGCCCUUGGAGUCUAUAUGCCCCACGGGCACACUCUGUUAUAAUUUAGAUUUUCAGAGUCUGUAUGCCUUUUGGGCACACUCUGUUUUGUAUGAGUUUUCAACUUUAUUUUAAUAUAUAAAGGUAUUCGGCUCUUUCAGCCGACCAGUUAUUGUAUAUUCCAUCUAUUCGGCUUAUCAGCCGACCCAAAGUACUAUACUAUCCAUACUUCCGGCUCAUCCAGCCGAACCGUUUCUACAGUAGAGGAUUCGAACUCUACUGAUCCGAUCGCUCAUUAGCCGAAUCGCUUGAUCCAGUCGAAGGGCGCAAACUUUGAGGAUCACUAAUCGUAGCCGCUCCGCAUCCCUACACGCUUCUCAAGAAAGAUCUUUUACCUGGUCAAAGACAAAGGGAAUUCGGCCCCUGACAGAUUGUUAGGAUUAUAUGGAUAGAUUAUUAGGAUUUUUUUGAUUGUUAGGAUUGUAUAGAUAUAUUAUUAGAAUUUUCAAAGUUGUUAAGAUUAUAUGUGAUAUUUGAUUAUUAGGAUUAUAUAGAUAGAUUAUUAUGAUUUCUUUGAAUGUUAGGAUUGUAUGGAUAAAUUGUUAGAAUUUUCAGGUUGAUAAGAUUAUAUGUGAUUUGUUGAAAUAUUUAUGUGGUUGUUAGGAUUAUACAUAAAAUAUAAAAAUAAACAGUAAAUAAGAUGAAUGAUUUACAGUUUUUGUGAGAAAUUAUAAAAACGGUGAAUUAUUUAUCGUCUUUUUGAAGACGGUGAAUCAUUCAUUAUGAAAAUAGCUCCCUUAAAAAAAAAAGGAUUAUUUUUCAAAUAUAAUUUUGGCCGAAUUAUACUGCAAAUAAUAAAAUUUUAGAGGCUAUUUUAUAAAAAAAAGUCUGAAAAGUGGAAAUGAGUACGUAGCUCUUGAAAUAAACGAAAAAGGUAAAGCUUGGGCGCCAAGUUUGCCCACCAGAAUAAGGAUAGAGCUGACACUACACAACUUGGCGAGAUGCAAAAUUAACCGUCAGAUCAGUAUUACGUACAAUUGGUAAUUUUUCUUUUCAAAAUUGAAAAUAAUUUUUAAAAAACAAAACAGAAAAUUUUUUUGAAGCAGAUAUUUGGAAAAUGAGAAUCGGCUGUGAUCUCGGCAGGGGGUGAUCAACAAAAUUACCGGUUCCCUACUUUAUAUUUUUGCUCUAAAUAUAAUCACCGAGUGCGCAUUAAUUACUUUAACACUUCCACAACUUUUCAUCUCUUUCUUUUUUCUUUUUUUUUUUUUUUAUUUUUUUUGUGUGUUUUGUACGCUUCUCUCUCUCUUUGAAAGGAGGCAUGUUCUCCGCGUCGCGCUCUUUCGUCUCGUCUCUUUCCUCCUCCCUCCGUCCUCGUGUGCUGAUGAGUACGAGACGCUUAGCAUCUUCUCCUCCUCCGCCGCCGCUUCCGGAAACGCGCUUCGCCCCGAAGAAGGCGAUUCGCGCGAUGAGCCUGAGCAAGUUCGUCGCCCACCAAACCGCGUUCGCCUUGCGCCUCGCGCAGCGCGUGGCCGCCGCCGAGGCGAAGGAGGGCGCCAACGUCGCGUUCUCGCCGCUCUCCCUCCACGCGCUCCUCAGCCUCGCCGCGGCGGGGACGCGGGGCCCCGCCCUCGACGAGCUCCUCGCCGUGCUCACCCCCGCGGGCGGCGCCGGCGGCGCCACCGCUGACGACGUCGCCGCCCUCGCCGCCCGCGUCGUCGGCCGCGUCCUCGCCGACGCCUCCGCCGGCGGUGGGCCCCGCGUCUCCUUCGCGAACGGGGUGUGGGUCGACGCCUCCCUCUCCCUCAAGGCCGCGUUCGCGGAGAUCGCCGCCUCCGCUUACAAGGCGGAGAUCCAAUCCGUCGAUUUCCAAACCAAGGUUCGAAUCCUCGCUUUUUUUUUUUUCCUUUUUCUUUUUCUUUUUCUUUUUGUUGUUCGUUUAUCGAGUUAUUAGGGUUUUUGUGGGGUUUUAGCUUGAAUAUGCAUGUCUUAGGGGGCUUGGAUCAACCUAAAAGAUUGUUAGUCUCGUAGGUAGAGAUAUGGUGACAACCAUAUAUGGUGUCUAUUUUAACAUGCCCCCCUAACAAAGUCGAAUUGAAUCUUAACUGAAUCUAGGUUGAAAUAGAAGCAGAAGAAACUAGAUUAGAAAUGGAAAAGGUUCUGAUGCUAUAUCAAAUCGCAAUCGCAAUCGCAGAGACCAAUCCAACAGCUUAAGUUCGCAGUGAACAAACCACUCUGACGUUGUGAAGAAGAUUCUAAGUUUUUGUUUUUAGUAUUCUAGAAUUUGAGUCAGCUGAACACUGGUGAAUAUGUCUCUCGUCCAGUUUUGUUAUAUAUCUUGCUAUAAAAUUCUCACUUCAUUCCAUGCAUGCUAAUUUUUCUCUAACUGAGCUUUUUCUUUCUUUCUUUCAUUUUUAUCCUUUAGCCGCCCCUCUAGUUAUCUAUCCUGAAUUUGGAAUGAUAAGGAAUUAGGGAUUCUGGGUAUUGAUUAAGCUGGAAUUAUAUUGAUUUUUUUGUUAGUCUCGGUUUUGCAAAUCAACUUCAAUAAAUAAUACUUAUCUAAUUUUUUAAAAGACAAAAAUAUUUCUUCUGCUGCUAAUUUUACUUAUCAGCGAAAUUGUUGACAGGUAAACCAGUGUUGCAGAUUCGGUUUUUUCUCCCUUUGUUUUAAGCCAAUCUUAACGCUGCUGUAUUUGUUUAUUAACUUUUUUCCUUUCCUAUUGAUUUAGGCUGGUGAAAUUAUCGAUCAAAUUAACUCAUGGGUUAGUUCGGCAACAAAUGGUCUUAUAAAGAGUAUGAUUUCCGGCAGAGCUAUCAACCAAUUCACUAGGGUGGUGCUCGGUAAUGCUAUUUACUUUAAAGGGGCUUGGGCUGAUAGAUUCGACGCAUCAGGAACGGAAGAUGGUGAGUUCCACUUGCUCAAUGGAAAUUCUGUGCGAGUGCCCUUCAUGACGAAUCCGGAAAUGCAGUUCAUGUCUUCAUACGAUGACUUCAAAGUGCUUAGGCUUCCGUAUAGAAAAGGGAAUGAUAGGAGACAAUUUUCCAUGUAUAUUUUCCUGCCCGACGAUCGAGAUGGGCUAUGGAGUUUAAUUGAUAAGUUGAGUUCCGAUCCCGAGUUCCUAAACCGCCAUCUCCCAAAGCGGGAGGUCAAAUUGGGAGAGUUCAGGAUUCCCAAAUUCAAAAUAUCUUGCGGGUUGGAUGCACCUCGACUUCUAGAAGAGAUGGGAGUACAUUUGCUCUUCUGUGGGGACGGGGGCCUGACUGAAAUAGCCGAUUCACCCAUCACCGGCGGAACAUCGAUUUUGCACAAAUCUUUCAUCGAAGUUAAUGAGGAAGGAACCGAAGCAGCUGCCGCUUCUUUCAUGAUGCUUGGGGCUUGUUUCUGGGCGCCUCCUCCGGACUUCGUUGCUGAUCACCCUUUCUUUUUCUUGAUCAGGGAGGACACAACCGAAGCGGUGCUAUUCAUGGGCCACGUGCUCGAUCCCUCAGUGGUCGCGUAAAUAAUGAAUCCGUUCUCAGGCAUUUGGUAGUUUAUUCCAUCUUUUGUUUUUUUUCUCCCCUGAAUCAACUCUUUGGAGUCCAAAAAAAAAAAAUGUAUGCGAGACGCUUUAAGUGCAACUUUAUAGGUGUGUUUUUACAGUCGUUUGUGAGUGGUAAGGAAUAUUUCUCUUUGGUGCUGCUGGCGUUACUGUUUUGAUUAUUAUUAGAGCGCGUUUGAUUAUCCGAAAGUGGCAGAAGUGAUUUUUUUUUUUUUUUUUUUUUCAAUUCCAUUAUUUGGUUAGCUAUAAAGUGAAACAUGAAAACUAUAAUUUUAUAAUUUUGAUUCUUUAAACAAAUAACUUAUACUUACAAUUUAAAUUAAAAAUUUAAAUUUAGAAUUUAAAAUUUUAUUCUUAAAAUUAAAUUUAAACUUAAACUGAGUUGAAUUUAUAAAUAAAAUUUAAGAACAUUUAUUCAAAUUUUAAUUCAUAAUUUAAAUUUAUAAUUUGAGUCUUAGUUUAAUUUACUUUUUAAUCUCAAAAAAUUUUGUAUUCAAAUAUGAAUUCACAAAUUAAAAUUUGAGUUUAAAUCACAAGAAUUGAAUAUUUGAAUUCAUAAUUCAAAUUCAAAGUUCAAGCUGCGAUCAAUAUUGAAAUUAAAUAUAAAUAGCAAAUUUUAAUUUUAAUUUCCACUUAAAAAUAAAAUUUUAAAUUUAAAUUUCAGUCAAUAAUCUAAAUUUAUAAUUAGAACAAUUUGAAUUCAAUGUUCAAAUUGAAGUUUUUAGCAGAAAAUAAUCUGAUUAAAAUUUAAAUUUUAAAUUAAAUUUAAAUUAUAGAAUUCAAAUUUGAAUUAAAAAUAAAUAUUUAAAUAUUUAAAUUUAAAUAUAAAGUCAUAAAUUUGAAAUUAAAAAUUUUAUGUUGAAUUUGAAUUUACAAAUAAAUUCAGAAUGUGAUCUAAAUUUAAAUUCUAGAAUUCAAAUUUAAAUAAAAAUAAAAAUUUAAAUAUUUAAAUUUAAAUAUAAAGUCACAAAUUUGAAUUUAAAAAGUUUUUUGUUAAAUUUGAAUUUACAAAUAAAGUUUAGAAUGCGAUCAUGAUUUUAAUUCAAAUUUAAAGUAAAAUUCAUAUUUAAAAUAAAAUUCAAAGAUUAACGUUAAGACCAAAUACAUUCUUUUAGCUAAACUUUCUAAUUUCGGUGACUUUUGAUGUCACGCCCCGGAUUGCACGAAGCAAUAGCUGUACCUGUAAACAAAACCAAGCUACAACCACAAGUAUGGAGCUGCUAAGCAAAACAAAUAUAUAUAAAACAUCAUGACUAUAGUACAUACAAAAGCUACGAACCAGCAACUAACAUCUCGCUCCAGUGAGUAACUAAACAAAGAGCAUGUACAUGUACAACACUCAUAACUACCUCUGAAGGGGCACUCCGCUAGCACGACGACUGAGAUUGAUAGGGAUCUAGCUCGCAACUCCCUUAUCAUGAUCAGUAUUAGCAACAGCAGCAGCCGUAGACGAAGGCUCUGCAAAAAGAGAUCAACAACUUGGUGUGAGAAUUACUACAAAAGAAAUAGUCCUCAAUGGGUAGCGCUACCGACCUCAACGGCUCACCCACUAAGUCUACAGAAAAUAUGCUCAAGGAUAGUAAAGGAAGCUGGAAAAACUCUACAGCUACAUGCCACUAUACUAUUGCUAACCAACACUAGCUAUCUAUAGAUAUAGGCAAGAUGCAAUCUCUGACCCAAUCUCACUAGGAACUGUGAAUACACCCGUCCCGCCUGUCGAAGCUACACCAACUACCACCACGCUGGGUUGUUGGUGGCGAGCAAGUCCAACUUAGACAUUACGUCAACAACGCAAAAGCACUAAGCCCGACUCCAGAGCGGCACUCGUGGGCGCUACCCAACUGAGUAUGCAAGCGUGUUUCUGCCAAGUUCAAUCAGGCUCUCACAGGCUAUAAUCAAAACAAAUAGGUUUAACUGGUCUACAACCAAAACUCACGUGCCCUUGACAAUAUCUGAUGCAAAUACAGAAAUCUGGGUCCACCGUCAACCGCGACGGCACUUGACAGUCCGAAACAAUCUACACACUAUUGUAAAAUAAGCUCGACAUCCCAGCACGAGCGUGAAUUCAUCCUACACUAAUUUGAGUAUCCAUUGCAUACUAACAAUGAUGAUACAAUAGAACCACAGAUCCUAAAGCUAAAUCUGGUAAUUUUCAGAAAUGACAGUGUAGGUUCUAAAUAUUUUCUCCUAAGUCAAUUCCAAGUCCAACAUGUAAAAUUAAACUACUAGCUUAACUCCAAAUUCAGAUUUAAACACUAAUCCAUGAAUUUGAUACUAGCAAGAAAAAUAGACGGAUAAUACAUGUCGACAAAUACUAAAACUUAGAAGAUAUUCCGACGAUUUCGGUAAACUUCAACCCACCUUAAAAUGCUCGUCCAACAACGGCGAGAAGUCGAAAGGAGAGGAAAUCCCGCGCUCGCCCGACCUCCAACGGCGCUACCACGACGCACGCACGCUCGAACGGCUCUCCGGCGCAACGUCGACAUCGAUCCGAGCUCUAACCGUGGCCUCCACCAAGCACAUAACUAAAGCUAGAGAGAGAGAGGAAAAUGAUAAUUAAGCUCCUUCAUUGCCUCUCUAUCCUAAUUAAAGCGGUGGGGAUAAAAUUGAAAGGAUCGAGACAACAAAAGACCAAAAGGCCCCUCACCUACUCAAACAUCCAGUUGGAGUACCGGUACCAGCCCGAUGCCGUACCGGUACUCAGCAUCAAUUAUCGCAACCCGAGAGCAGCAGUUCGAAAAUUACACUGGGGUAUCGGUACUCCCCUACGUGGUACUGGUACUCAAUACUGAAAAUCUGCACUUUGCCGAUUUCAAUGCCAAAACUCUGUUAUCGCGUCGCGCUGAGUUCGUUUUGUGUCCAUUUCGUGCCAAAACGACUCGGACUUGUCCCGACACUCUCCAGAUAUGUCGACAAGUCUCUGCUCCUUUCUCCACAAUCAAUGCCCGAUUCACCACCUCCCUAUAAGUCGAUGGGUUUGACGCCUGAACCAACCUGAAAAUCGUAGGUCGCAAACCUACCUCGAAAAUACGGGCCUUAUCCCCAUCAUCCCUAACCACGAAAGGAACACAAUGUAGUAGUUGAGAAAACUAUCGUUCAUACUCAACCACUGUCCUAUCCUCCUGCCUCCAAUUUCUCAGAUCCCUCUCUAUCUGUCUCUUUACACUCUGUGGAAAGUAAGUUGUCAACAGUAAUUCCUUAAACCUCUUCCAAGUGAUCAUAGAUAAAUCAGUAUAGGGAUCCUCGCGAAUAUCUAACAACCACCUGUAAGCCUCGCCAUCCAUAUGGUGUGUCGCAAACCAGACUCGGUCUCGCUCCUCUACAAAGGAAUCGUAAAAUAACUUCUCCAUAUGCAUCAGCCACUUUUCGACUAUCCAGUGAUCAGCUUUUUCACCGUCAAAUACACGAGGAUUGCAACGGCGAAAUUCAUUCAGUCGCUCCAUCAUCUGCUCUCGCUCCUCGGCCCUUACCAUCUCUGGUAGCAUUGCCCCUGUCGCAGCCACAGGCACUGGCGGUGGUACUACUGCCUUCUGCCGGGCCUCUACCCUCGGGGCUGCAUGUGAAGUAUCUGGUGCUGAUGGAUGUGCUCCUGCAGUCGUAUCCCUCUUUGGUACUGCUGGCGUAGGAUCUGGAACCUUUCUAUCCGUCGUCUACCGCAGUAGCAAAUCCUCCAACCUCUUCAUUCUUUUCUCUUGUCGGCGUGCGACAUCCAUCUGCUGUCGGGCUGCCGUUGGCUGUUGUGUCACUAAAUCUGUAAACACUGCAAGCUGAUCUUGCAGCUCACGAACCUCACUCGAUCCAGAGGUAGCAGUAGUCUCCACUUCCUCUGCAUCAGCGGCUUCAGCCGCUCCAGCUGCCAUAGAACGAGUCGUAGGCAUCUUAAUUGGAACAAAACAAACAUGGAUUAAUAACACUUACACUAUUAACCUCCACUUCAUAUAUUAACCACCCAUUUAAACGAAAGUAAUGAAAUGUAACAUAUACUAACUUUAGAUGUCACGUUGUCGGCCGCCAACAUGUCCCUCUGCAAAGUCAGCAAUUGUACGUUUCAAUCAAACUCCUACCAUUCGGAGUUUAUAAUUUACCCAAUAAAAAUACUUUCGCUAAAACUUAACUAGACCUCGUCUCUCAUGAACCUAUUUUUAUAAUCCAACCAGCCUAAGAUUCGCUAGGUCCACUAAGACUCAACCCUAGGCUCUGAUACCAUUAUAAUCUGUCACACCCGAGUAUCAGUGGAAGCCUACCCGGUACAUGUACAGAUCCGCCAUACACCUGCAGUAUAUAAGGCAUUUACAAAGAAGCAUGUCGAAAAAGAGAAAACAUAGAAGAAUUCUAACCUGAUAUCAAAGCAAAGUAUAAGUCGAUAAUACAACCAUCAGAAAACAGUAAGUAUAAACAGCUCAGAUUCUCAAUUCCACAGGAAAACACCAAAACUGUAAUCUCUGAUUCAAAUCACAUAUACAUCACAGGGUACACAAAAUAUAUGUACAAUGGUAGUCUUUCUAUAUACGGGGACAUCACCCUUGGCCGUAGCCCGAGUAGCAAGGUGAUCAUCUAGUCAAGCUCCAAGCUAUAUCUAGUUAGACGCGACUCCCUUGCCACGAUCCCUAGCCUCUCCUGUUGAUGGCUCUGUAAAAACAACAAUAAAAAGGGCGUGAGAACUAUUCAACAAUAGUUUCCAGUGGGUAAGCCGCCAGCCUCGGCGAAUUACACCACUAGGCUCAUGAUGAUAUACUAAAGAAAAUGUAAGCACAGUUAUAACAUGUAAGUUUUAUCAACAAUAAAGAACUAUGAAAUUGUGUCAUGCUGUCAGAUAUAUUUAUCAAGUAAAACGGGUAAGGUAAUCGCAAUGUACUUGAAUAUAUCAAGUAGAGAUGUAAUUGUAUACUACUCAAUGAUAAUCACCUGUUGUUAUCAUUUAAUAUAUAUUGAUUUAAUUUAUAAGGACCUAUUCAAGGUAGUCAAGCUUGUGCCGCGCCUAAUGGCCCCGUGGUAGUAUACACUCUCCACGGCAAUCCAUUUCGGCACCCAAUCCCGCACGGGCGAGCAAUCUAUCGUGUAGGCCAACUCCGGAGUGCCGGCUUGUGGGGAGCGACCCUCACAAGCAUGUGCGAAUGAGCACAAUGGCCAGCAAACAUAAUUAAUAGUUUAACAAUUCUCAAUUGUCAUGUCUAAACAUAUAAGAUUCUUACUCUCGACCUUUAGGUCAGAUUUCAACAUAGCAGGUUAGUAUCCACCAGAUUAAAUGAUUAGGCAAAGAACUAUAAAAUUACAUAUGUCACUUGCAUCAACUACUAGUCAAUGACAAUGCAUGAACAUACUAUUAACCGAGACAUAAAUUGAUCACCUCAUCAUUUAUUGCUUAUGCAUUUAAAAUGAAUAAGAAGGCAAUCAUUCAUGAUUCACGUAGUUACGCCUAAUUCAUAGUUAUAUAGCAUCAUAUAGAACAUAGAAGGAAUCCACUUGCUCUGGUGAGGUCAAACCCACCUACUAAACGAUGCCUCUUGUCAAUCUCACACGGUGAGCAAUUCAAGCAUCCAGGUUCCUAAUUCAUGAGUCAAAAUCAGCUACAAGCUGAAUUAGAUAUCUAUAGCAAAAUCUCACCUAUUCAUCGAAUAGGUAGUAAUUACUUACCUAAGUUAAAAGGGAGAUUAAAUCCACUCUCCAAUGUAUGUAGAAGCUCCCCAAAACUCAGCUCAAACCUGCUCAAAUGAGUCCCGAAUUCAGCUCAACCAGGUCUUAACCCUGCUGCGAUUUACUUAUAAAACUGCAUCGAAAUUUAUAUCAAAACAUUCAUUUUCAGCAACAUUUUCCCUUAUACCCGGUCACAGCUUACACCCUUGUUUUGGUUCAGGUUAGCACGCUCAAUUCCAUCUCCGAAGGCUCUCAAUAUAUAGCCGAAAGUUAUCCAUUACCCUGUUAUAAAUCUGCUGCGUAUUAGCUUCAAAACUGCAUCAACAUCAUUACUAGAACACUCUAAUUCAACCUAAUUCUCACCUAGGUUCAGCGCAGUGUUAAUCCUCCACCUCGACUCCGGUUACACAUCUUAAUUCGGCUCAUAACCAUUCUUCAAAUCAGCUCUAAAUGGAUAACAUACAGCUGAGAGCAUCAGCCCAAAAUCAGCAUCUCUACUCUAUCUUUACAUCAUAAAUAUGAUAAAUAUAAGAUAGAUAAGGAACUACUCACAUUCUCCAAGUUCAAUUCAGCUUUCUAGGAAAUUAUAGUAGAAAAUUUCAGGAGUUAAACCCUUCUCUAGCUGUCUUGUGGCUUCUCCCAAUUCAGCUAACAAAACAAAGAACCAAAUCCUACUUAACUCCAUCAUUAAGCCUCAAACUAAAUAGUAAUUAAGUAAUAUUACCUUUCCAAAACCUCAACCAGCUAUAAGAGUGUGCAAGGUCACGAAAUACCCCUUAAUACUCCUCAUUCUUUUACCCACAGCAACUCCAAAACAGUCCCUGCCAGUAAACAUCAAGCAAAGAGAUGAAUCAAGCUUAAACCCUUGAUUCCUUAUAGAGAUAGAAAAAUUUCCUAGAGAGAGAGAAAAGGAAACCUUCAAACCCACUUUGCUGAGCUCAAGGAUGCUUAUCCAAGUUGCAGGGGUCGAGCUGGGGUUAAAAGGGAUAAGCUUGAUGAGUAAAAAGACCAAAAAGGGCUUGCUGCCACGCAACUGCUGUCUCUACUGCUUGCUGUACCGGUACAGACUAAGGGUUGUACCGGUACACCAAUGUAGAAAAUGCAAAUCUCAAGAUUGCAAUGCACUUUCUCGCUUCCCACAUUCCGAUCACUCUCAAACUUAUUCAUAAUUAUCUUUAAACCCUUUACAACAUAUGGAAAGGUUCCAAAUAUCAUUCACCUUACUCGAAUUUCGCAAUUUGCUAAAGUUCAAUUUACUACAAUAAUUAAAAUUUAAAAAUAAAACUCAAACCCACAAUUCAAAUUCAAUUUUAAAAAUAUAAUUUAUUUUAAAAAAAUAUAUAGAUUAAUAUCUGAAUUUAAAUUAUUGUUAGUGAAAAAAAAAUUCGUUUCUCAAUUCUUUUCCAAAUCAAAAUUGAUUCGUACCUCAAUGGUGAGAAUCAUUAUGGAAAUAUUCGAUUUCCUGGCCUCAAAUAAAACUCCAAUAUAGAAAUGAAUCAAUCCAAAUAUUCAUUACAAGGUUCAAAUCCUUCAAAUCAAACAUGCCGCCCUUAAUAUUCAAUUUAAACAAUGUAAAAUAAAACGAAGAUAUUAAUUAUAGAAUGUUGUGUUGAAUUAAAAGGGGCUAGUUCAGGAGUCCUAUUUAUAUUAGUUACUUUUUCUUUAUUUUCACUUUCUGGUUGGCUCGUGUAUGAAGAGUUUUUUUUUUUUUUUUUUUUUUUUUUUUUUUUUUUUUGAGGGAGAGAUAGGUAGCACGCUGUCCGCUUCAUUUAUUUCAUUUAGAAAUAAACUUAGCCGGAAAUGUGAUUCAAUUAGAAUUCAAAUUUGGAAUCUCGGUACCAACCAUCAAAUCUUUGCCACUUACUCAAGAGACGGUCAGUCUCUUAUAUAAAGAGUUGACAUGAGUUCGUAGUUCUUACAACAAAUAAUACGGUGAAAGUUUGGGCCUCAAGUUUUGCCUGCUAAAAUAAGGAUACAAUUGAAACUACACAACUUGGUGAUGCAAAAUCAACCGUGAGAUUAGUAUUACAUACAAUUGGCAAUUUUAUUCUCAAAGUUCAAAAUAAAGUUUUUUUUUUUUUUUGAAAAACAAGGGGAAAAUUUUGAAGCAGAUAUUUGGGAAACGAGAAUCCCUGUUAUCUCGGCCGGUUGUUGACAAAAUUACCGGCCCCCUGCUUUGUAUUUAUGCUCUAAACAUAAUUAAUUACUUUAACCCUUUCCGCAACUUUUCAUCUCCUUCAUAUUAUUAUUAUUAUUUUUUUUUUUCUUGUGUGUUUUGGACCCCACUCUCUUUGAAAGGAGGAAUGUUCCCCGCGUCGCGCUCUUUCCUCUCGUCUCUUUCCUCCUCCCUCCGUCCUCGUGCGCUGGUAAGUAAGAGAUGCUUAGCAUCUUCUCCUCCUCCGCCGCCGCUUCCGGAAACGCGCUUCGCCCCGAAGAAGGCGAUUCGCGCGAUGAGCCUGAGCGACUCCGUCGCCCACCAAACCGCGUUCGCCCUGCGCCUCGCGCCGCGCGUGGCCGCCGCCGCGGCGGAUGAGGGCGCCAACGUCGUGUUCUCGCCGCUCUCCCUCCACGCGCUCCUCAGCCUCGCGGCGGCGGGGACGCGGGGCCCCGCCCUCGACGAGCUCCUCGCCGUGCUCGCCCCCGCGGGCGGCGGCUGCGGCGCCACCGCGGACGACGUUGCCGCCCUCGCCGCCCACGUCGUCGGCCGCGUCCUCGCCGGCGCCUCCGCCGGCGGUGGGCCCCGCGUCUCCUUCGCGAACGGGGUGUGGGUCGACGCCUCCCUCUCCCUCAAGGCCGCGUUCGCAGAGAUCGCCGCCUCUGCUUACAAGGCGGAGAUCCAAUCCGUCGAUUUCCAAACCAAGGUUUGAAUCCAUGCUCUAUGAUUUUUCUUCUUUUUUCCCUUUUCCUUUUCCUUUUUCUUUUUCUUUUUCUUUUCGUUGUUCGUUUAUCGAGUUAUUAGGGUUUAAGCUUGAAUAUGCAUGUCUUGGGGGGCUCGGAUCAAUCUAAAAGAUUAUUAGUCUCGCAGGUAGAGAAAUGGUGAGAACCAUAUCUGGUGCCUAUUUUAACAUGCCAAUGCCAACAAAAUCGAAUUGAAUCUUAACUGAAUCGAGGUUGAAAUAGAAGCAGAAGAAACUAGAUUAGAUUAGAAAUGGUUCUGAUACUAUAUCCAAUCGCAAUCGCAGAGACCAACCCAACAGCUUAAAGUUCGCAGUGAAUAAACGCCUAAUUUUUUUUGUUUUUAGUAUUCUAGAAUUUGAGGCAGCUGAGCACUGGUGAAUAUGUUUCUCUUCCAGUUUUGGUUAUUCUAUGUCAUUUGUGUUUGUUUAUCAGUUUUUUUUUUUCUAUUGAUUUAGGAUGAUGAAAUUACCGAUCAAAUUAACUCAUGGGUUAGUUCAGCAACAAAUGGUCUUAUAAAAAAUAUGAUUCCCGAUGGAGCUAUCGAUCAAUUAACUAGGGUGGUGCUCGGUAAUGCUAUUUACUUUAAAGGGGCUUGGGCUGAUAAAUUCGACGCAUCAGGAACGGAAGACGGUGAGUUCCACUUGCUCAACGGAAAUUCUGUACUAGUGCCCUUCAUGACGAAUCGGGAAACGCAGUUCCUGUCUUCAUACGAUGACUUCAAAGUGCUCAGGCUUCCCUAUAGAAAAGGGGAUGAUCGGAGACAAUUUUCCAUGUAUAUUUUCCUGCCCGACGAUCGAGAUGGGCUAUGGAAUUUAAUUGAUAAGUUGAGUUCCGAACCCGAAUUCCUAAACCGCCAUCUCCCUAAGCGGGAGGUCAAAUUGGGAGAGUUCAGGAUCCCCAAAUUCAAAAUAUCUUACGGGUUGGAUGCAUCUCGAGUUCUGAAAGAGAUGGGAGUACAUAUGCUCUUCUGUGGGGAUGGGGGCCUGACUGAAAUAGCCGAUUCACCCAUCGCCGACGGAACAUCGAUUUUGCACAAAUCUUUCGUCGAAGUUAAUGAGGAAGGAACGGAAGCAGCUGCCGCUUCUUUCAGGAUGCUUAGGGGUUGUUGCAGGGCGCCUCCUCCUCCUCCGGACUUCGUUGCUGAUCACCCUUUCUUUUUCUUGAUCAGGGAGGACACAACCGAAGCGGUGUUGUUCAUGGGCCACGUGCUCGAUCCCUCUGUGGCCGCGUAAAUAAUGAAUCCGUUCUCAGGCAUUUGGUAGUUUAUUCCUUCUUUUUUUGUUUUUUUCUCCCCUGAAUCAACUCUUUGGAGUCCAAAAAAAUGUAUGCGAGACGCCAUGAGCGCAACUCUAUAGGUGUGUUUUUAAAGUCGUUUGUGUGUGGUAAGGAGUAUUUCUUGUUGGUGCUGCUGAGGUUACUGUUUUGAUUAUUAUUAGAGCCACGUUUAGUUAUCCAAAAGUGGCUGAAUUGAAAAUACUUUUUUUUUUUUUUCUUUCGCUAAAUUACAAAAAAACCAUUCUAUCAAAAACUGAUUUUUUACUUUCCUCCCUGUCUAUUAAAAUCUACACAUUGCCCCCCUAAAAAAAUAAAACAUCGGGUUUUGAAAGGGAGGUUUUCUGUAAUUUAUUUUUUUUUUUUUUCAAUUCGAUUAUUUAGAUACAUAUAGAGUGAAACAUGAAAAAUAUAAUUUUAUAAUUUUGAUUCUUUAAUUAUAGUAAAAAAAGUGAAAAUAUAAACAAACGACUUAUACUCACAAUUUAAAUUAAAAUUUGAAAUUUGAAAUUUAAAAUUUUAUUCUUAAAAUUUAAAUUUAAACUUAAAUCAAGUUGAAUUUAUAACUAAAAUUUAAGAAAAUUUAUUCAAAUUUUAAUUCAUAAUUUAAAUUUAUAAUUUGAGUCUUAGUUUAAUUUACUUUCUGACUCAAAAUUUUGUAUUCAAAUAUGAAUUCACAAUUUGAAUUAAUAUUUAAAUUAAAAUUAAAAUUUGAGUUUAAAUCACACGAACUGAAUAUUUGAAUUCAAAAUUCAAAUUCAAAAGUUCAAACUGUGAACAUUAUUGAAAUUAAAUAUAAAUAGCAAAUUUAAAUUUAAAUUUGAAUUUCAACUUAAAAAUAUAAAUUUUAAAUUNUUAAAAUAAUUUAAAAAUAGAAUUUAAAUUUGAAUUAAAAUAAAUAUUUAAAUAUUUAAAUUUAAAUAUAAAGUCAUAAAUUUGAAUUUAAAAAUUUUAUGUUGAAUUUGAAUUUACAAAUAAAUUCAGAAUGUGAUCUAAAUUUAUAUUCUAGAAUUCAAAUUUAAAUAAAAAUAAAAACUUAAAUAUUUAAAUUUAAAUAUAAAGUCACAAAUUUGAAUUUAAAAAGUUUUUUGUUAAAUUUGAAUUUAUAAAUAAAAUUCAGAAUGCGUUCAUGAUUUUAAUUCAAAUUUAAAGUGAAAUUCAACUUUAAAAUAAAAUUCAAAGAUUAAAGUUAAGACCAAAUAUAUCCUUUGAGCUAAGCUCUCUAAUUUCGGUUACUUUCGAAUUUUUUGAGCCAAAGUAAAAAGUGUGAGAUUUAAUUAUAAUUCAUUUAAUCAAUCCAUUUUUGUAAAAUGUCUUUCAUAUUUAUUUUCGCUACGCAAACAAUUGAUAUGACAUCACUUUUUAAAAUAUCACUUUCGGUACUUCACUUUCGGCCAACCAAACAUGCCCUUGGAAUCACUACAACGAUAUACUUUGUAACCCAAGUACUAGCGACUUGGUCUAUUGGGCCUCUUAUGCCCAUCGGGGUUUUUUGCAUCAGCCCAAUUAAAAUGUCACGUUUAACUCACGCGAUGUAGAAUUGACGUCUGAUAUUAUUAUGGAUAUUGCGACUUUGUUCUCAGAAUUGUUUUUCUUGUUUACCUGCUGUUGAAUUUUCAAGAAAACCCAAGUCUAGAAUGCAAAAGGUAAUUUUAUACACUUAUAAAAUAAUAAAUUUACCAAAAGAAAAAAGAAAUUAGAGAAGAAAUAUUACAAUUAUAAUUUUCAAAUGUUUGAGAACAGAAGUGUUAACGUCAAGAGUUUGUUCAUGCGUCAGUCUCAACAUUGGAGCGUUGCAGGGACUAUCAAUACAUUUUUAGAAAAAAAAAAAUCUAUAAAAUCUUUCAUUUUUAUUCCCAAAAUGGCCUUGAGGGAAUCCAUCGCCCUUCAAACUGAGUUUCCCUUUGUUUUAGGCUUGUUUGGUUUUACCAAAAGUGGCCGGACUGUAGGCCUAAGUGAACUGUGGUAAAAGUAAAGUUCAGAUAAAAAUUACUUCUUUCCAAAGUUGUUUGGUUUUACAGUUAUGAAAGUAAAGUUUCUUCAAUUCUAUUAUUAGCUUGGUAGAAAGUGAAUGACGUUACAAUUAUAAUUUAUAUACAUAAAUAACAAAUAAUUAGAUAAAUAGUAAAUUAUAAUAUAAUAAAGGCCUUUUUUCAUAAAAAAUCUACUAAUUUUGGGCUUUUGGAAGAUUGGAUCGUCUUUUUCGAUUUUGUAGAUUCAGUCCGGAGUUUCAGCAAACUGACCAAAAUACCCUUAUUAUUUUUUCUCUCUCCUCUUUUUUUUCUCUCAUUCUUUUUUUCUCUCUCUGAAAAAGGCAGUGGAGGCGGAGGCGGAAACAACCUGCCUCGCCUCUGCCCUGCACGCCCUCGCUCUUGCCCGUGCACCCCCGCCCUCGCAUCCGACCUUGCUCAGCCGCGUCGCGACCCCCUUCUUCAUUAGGGCACGACAACUUCGAGGUGCAGGCUUUUCUCCUCCACGGCGCAUCCAAACGCCGCGACGUUGUCAGAGGCGACGAGAUCGCCUCCGACGACGUCGCCGACAACGCCGCGAUGGUUACGAUAGAGAGCAAGGAAAAUGUGGUGACAAAAAAAUAUAUAGAAAAAAAAAAUAAAAAAAAAUAAAAAAAAUCUUUUUCUUACAGAAAAGAUCAAAAAAUAUAGAUGAAGAAAAAAGAUGAUGAAAUUACAAUGUUAAAAUAUGAUUACACUGUUUUUAAAAAAAAUUACACUGUUUUAAUAAAAAUUGCACUAUUUGAUAUACAAAUUACACUCUUUUAAAAUUAAUUUUACACUCUUUAGAUUAAAAUUACACUCUUUAAGAAAAUUUUGCACUAUUUCUUUUUUUUUUUUUUCUUUUUCUCUUUCUCUUCUUCUUCUUCUUCCUCCUCAUCCUCCUUCGCAUCUCCUCCUCCUCCUCUGUCGCCACUGACACCGCCGCCUCCACUACGUCCUUCAACUUCGAGAUCUCCGGCGAGCACUCCUUGAAGGACACCUCGUCGUUCUCCGCCGCCACCGCUGCCCACGCCGCGAUCCCCUGCCUCCGAGUCUCUAUCUCUUUCUCCAUCUCCGGCCCCGCUCCCUCCGCGGCCGCCGCAUCAGACGACCGAGCCGCCGCUGCCGCCGAGAUGGAGAAGAUGCUGGGGGACGCCGCAUCUUCUCCUUAAUGCUUAUUAACUUGUUUAUUUAUUGCAUACACAAUACUACACUGUACAAAUGCUUAUGUAUAUUUUCAAUAGAAAAAAAAUGAGAAAAAAGAAAAGAAAUGAAAAUAUAUUACCAACCAUUAAUGCUUCCUAAAGAAAUGACCAAGAAUUAAACAAAAUCCCACUUGAGCAUUUACCAUGUAACAUACAAGUUUUUAUUUCCUUAAUUUCUCUAAAUCGCAGGAAAAAAAAAUGGAGGAUUAACAUACAUACAACUAGUUGUAACAAGGCGUCGGCGAUGGCUCGGUCGUCGGGGGCGAGAAGAGUCAUCUUGCGGAGGGGCGCGAGCUCGACGAGGUGGGCGCGGAUCGCGGCUGCGGCCACGAUGUAGCGGCCGCUGUGAGCGAGGCUCGCCGCGGCGUCCCCCAGCAUCUUCGAACCGUCUUCUUGCCGCGGAGUCCCCCAGCAUCUUCGAACCGUCUCCUCGCCACUCUUUUUCGAACCGUCUUCUUGCCGCGUCACGCGCUCGAUCUCCUCCGCAAUCGGGGUCCUGGCCGAGUCAGUGUCGGCAGCGUCGAGGGCCAGGCGGAGCACGGCGAGGCAGUCGGCGAGGUCGAGGGCCUCACGGCUCUAACGGGGGUGGAAAGAGAAAUGGUGUAAGGAGGAGGAAGAAUGAGGAAGAUGGGGGAAAGGAGAAAUAGCGUAAAUUUCAUCUUAAUAGUGCAAUAUUCGUCUAAAGAGUGUAACUAUUGAUUCCAAAGAGUGUAAUUUUUACUUCAAAAUGUGCAAUUUUAUCUAAAACAGUGCAAAUUUUUUUUAAAAUAGUGUUGUUUUAUUUAACAGUGCAAUUUCAUCUUUUUCUUCAUUCUUCUAUGAUUUUUGAUCAUUUUUGAGGAGAAAUAGUUUAACAAGAGAAAAAACAGUGCAACAAGAGGAGAAGCAGUAUAAAUAUCUCUUAAAGGAGUACAGUUUAAGAUAAAAAUAGUGUAACAAGAGGAGAAAUGGUGCAACAAGAGAAGAAACAAUGCAACAAGAGGAGAAACAAUAUAAAUAUCUCUUAAAGGGGUGCAGUUUAAGAUAAAAAACAGUAUAACAAGAGAAAAAAUUCUGCAACAAGAGGAGAAACAGUGCAAGAUUCGUUUAAAGAGUGUAACUUUCAUCUUAAUGGAUGCAUUUUACAUCUGAAAGAGUGCAAUAAGAAGAGAAACAGUGUAAAUAUCUCUCAAAGAGUGUAAUUUUCGUUUAAAAGGUGUAAUUUUCAUCUUAAAGCUCCAGUUUACAUCUUAAGUAGUGCAAUUUAUAAUUUUUUUUGCAGUUAAUGAUGCAAUUUCAUCUCCAUCCUUCUUUUUAUAUAAUUUUUUAUCUUUACUUUUUUCUUUUUUUUCUAUAAUUUUUUUUUGUCACCCUCUCUGCCAACAGUCACAGUGCCGGCGACGACGCCGCUAAUGACCCUCCGCUCCGAGGCUGCAGCGCCGCAGUGACCUCCACGGUGUCGGCGUCGGCACCGGCGAAAAUGUAUCGUUGUUGGAGGCGACGGAGAAGGAGGGAGAGGAAGAGGCGAGAAGGGCGGGGAAGAGCGAGAGAGGCGUCGUCGUCGGAGACGGUGGAGGAGAGUCGGGAAAGAAAAGAAAAGAAAAAAAUAUAAAAAAAAAGUCGCGGCGCGGCCUUGGCGAGGUCGAAGGUGAGGAAGGUGGAGGGUGCGUGGGCGAGGGCAAGGGCGAGGGCGAGAGCAUGAGGGUGAGAGACGAGGCGGACCGUUUUCGCCUCCGCCUCUGCCUUUGUUACUUUUUUCGGCGAGAAAAAAAAAAAAGAGAGAAACGAAGAGGAGAGAGAAAGAGGAAAGAGAAAAAGUAAUAAGGGUAUUUUGGUCAGUUUGCUGAAAAAACGGACCGAAUCUGCAAAAACAAAAAAGGUGGCCCAGUUUUGCAAAAGCCCAAAAUAAGUGGAUUUUUUAUGCAAAUUGGCCUAUAAUAAAUAAUAUUCCUAUAUAAUUAAUAAAAGGAAUUUGAGACAACUUAAUUAAUUUUUUUAUACGUAAAUCCUUACAAAUACAUAAUUUGACAGUUUUUGGAGGCAUACGUGGCGAAUUUUUGUGCUUUCAUAUCUUGCACCAACGGGAAGAAUCCAAAUGGCUUCUUGGCUCCUUUCCAAGGUUUGACCAGGUCAAGACAGCUCCUUGGCUACUUCCCAAGGUUGAAACAGAUUGGACCAAAAAAUUUCCUCCUUUCUAAGGUUUGACCAGGUCAAGACAGUUACUCCCUCUCUCCUCUUCCCGAGAUUUUUUGUCUCUCUCUUCUUCUACAGGUAGCCCCCCCUCUUAUCUCUCUUCCUUACUUAAGAUGGCCUAUUUCUCUCUCUCUCUCUCUCUAUAAUCCUCUUUCUUUUUUCUCUCAUCCAGUUAGCUCAUUCUUUCUCUCUCUUCUCCUCUCCCCUACUCUCUCUCUCUCUCUUCCCUUCUUCUCUCUAUCUUAGCCCCCUCACUCUCAUCCUAUUAUUCGCACCCACUGUCGUUUCGGCAACAAGUGGCGACCAUCUCCCGCCUGCUCUUUGGCCGCACCGACAAUGCCAUCAAGAACCACUGGAACUCCACCCUUAAGUGCAAGUACGUGGCCCCCGCCGCCGUCGCGAUCGACUCCGCCGUCGCCGCGCCGGAUUUCGGAGAUGACGAGGCGCUGCCGCCGCGGUUGCCAAAGCAAGCCAGCAACGUCGGGCCCGCCGUGUCGGCGGAGCUCUGCCUCAGCCCCGGCAGCCCUUGCGGCUCGGAUCUCAGCGACUCCACCCACCACACCUACCCCUUCGCCGCUUCGCCACCCAGAAUGGCGACGGUGGCGCACGUGUACCGGCCGGUGCCGAGAACAGAAAAAAAAGGAAAAAAAAAAGAGAGGCAUGAAGUAUAACUUCACACCUUCUUAUCUAUUUUUACUUUUUUUAUUUCUGAUAUUAUAUUUUUUCUCAACAGAAAAGCUCAAAAUAUUUUUUUUUAUAAUAAAUAGGAAUGAUCACAUGCUCCACAACUUUUUUUAGGCAUGUAUUUUUCUUCUUAAACCUCUUUGUAUUUACUUUUUUUUAACUAUAAAUUUUUUUAUUUUAUUUUUCUACUUAACUGUUUUAUAAUAAUAUAAAAUUAAUCGUUAACUGCAGCGAAGCGCGGGUUCUAUACUAGUUAUGAUAAUACAACAAUAAAAUCAUAGAGUAAGAAAACUAUUAAUACUCAAGAAAUCAAUUCUUUUUAUAUUUUAAAUAUGCAAACUAAAUAAAAGAGAUACAAAACAUAAUUAAUCAAUUUUUAUCGCAUACUAAACAUGUAAGCUUCUGUAGCAGCCCACAGUAUACCUUGCGAAAGGCCCUGAAUUAUUGGAGUUGCAGAGCUUGACAAAGAUUCAAUCACCUUCAGCAAACUCCAAUGGCCACCGUGUUGCAUCAACCCACUUUGUCAUUCGGCAUGCCUUCUUCUUUGGAUAGGCCCUCGCGAUCUCGCCCUUUUUCUGUAGUUUUGAAGUGAAUUAGAGUGCCAUGGGCUGUGGCCUCACUCGUCGACUGUGCGUGGGGCCGACAGUUAUCUUCUUAUCGCUAGCUCAAAUGGGCUUAGAUUCAUGAACUCGCUCAGCUGCAAAUUGUAAGAGAACUGAGCCACAUUACGAUAGUGCACCAAGUUCUUCUAGUGGGCACCCGCACAGUGUCAUAGGUAUUCCUUCAACAGGGUGUUCACCCGCUCUAUUUGCCCGUCCAUCUGUAGGUGGACACUGGUGGAGAAUAGCGACUCCGACCCUAAGAUCUAAAAUACCUUUGUCCAGAACUUGCCCAUAAACCUGGAUUCACGGUCGGUCUUCGGGAUCCCUAAAGCUUCACUAUAUGGCUAAUGAAGAGCCACGCCACUUCUUCUACCGUGUAAUCCGCUGGUGCCAAAAUAAAGGUUCCAUACUUGGAGAAUCGAUCCACCACCACGAGGAUGGACCCUAACGCCCCUACCUUUGGCUAGGUGGAGAUGAAGUCCAUUGAGACUCACCCACAGAUGCUUCGGUGUAGGUAAUGACUCGAGAAUGUCGCCGGGCCUCUAGUGCUCAACCUUAUCUUGUUGGAACACAAGGCAAUUCUGCACAUACGCCUCCAUAUCUUCAUGCAUUUGAGGCCAAUAGUAUGCAUCCUCCAGUAUGCGAAAGUUCGUUUCUGCCCAGGAUGUCCUAACUACUUGGAAUCAUGGCAUUCUUUUAUAAGCUCUCGACGAAGAUUGCCCUACUUGGACACAUAGACGUGACGUCCCUUGCUAAAGAGCAACCUACCACUAAGCGAAAACAGCUAUGCCUUGCCCUCCUUGACGAGCCGCACGAGUUCUUUGGCUAAAGGGUCCUCGCAAGUCCUUUCACGGAUUUGCUCCCUAAUCGCCCCUUGGAGCUCGCACACUGCAGCCAACUCCACCUUACAACUAAGUGCAUCAGCCACGUGAUUCUUCUUCUAGUGUUUGUAUUAGAGCUCCGUGACGAACUCCGCCUAGAAGUCUUGCUAUCUCGCCUGCUUAGGUGAAACCUUCUUUUGGGUUUGGAAGUAGCUCGUGGUGCUAAUGUUCGUCUGCACCACGAACUUGAUCUUGAGAAGGUAGUAAUGCCAAGUCCUCAAGAAUGCACCACGACGAUCAUUUCCUUCUCCUAAACAAUGCAUCGCCGCCCAAUGUCAUUCAGCUUGCGGCUCUUGUAGGUGAUGGGUUGCCCAUCCUACAUGAUAAUACCGCCAAUGGUAAAGUCCGAAAUAUCUAUAAGCACUUCGAAUGGACUAUUGCAAUCAAGAAGUCGUAGUACUGGAUCAUCCGUCAUCGCCCACUUAAGGUCCUCGAAUGCCUCCGCGCACUAACCAGUCCAAUCCCAUGGCUAGUUCUUCUUUAGUAGGUCUGCCAACGGAGCCACUCGUGUAGAGUAGCACACAAUGAAGCGGCGAUAGUAGUUGACGAGUUUGAGAAAGGCUUACAGUUCAUACACUAUCAUGGGUGUCCCCCACUAGUAGAUUGCCCACACCUUUCGGUGGUCCAUGUGGAGUUGCCCCUGGCCCAUCUAUUGGCCAAGGAAGUGCACCUAAUUCUUCAUGAUGGAGCACUUCUUUUUCUUGAUAAAAAGCUGGUUCUCUCGCAGUACAUGAAAGAUGGUCCAUAGAUGCUCGACAUGCUCCUUCAAUGUGUUGACACAACGAUGUCGUUCAGCUGCACACUACCAUGAAGUAACUGAGGUAAGGGUGGAAUAGCUUGUUCAUAAGAGUGCAGAAGGUCGCCGGCGCAUUUGUCAGGAUGAAUGGCAUGACAAGGAACUCUUAAGCCAUGUACCUCAUCACGCGUGUGGUCUUCUCCUCGUCUACUUCCACAAUUCAGACUUGAUAUACCCUGAGUGGAGAUCGAGCUUGGUGAAAUACUUCACCCUACCUAGCUGGUCAAAGAAAGCUGCAACCAAAAUGAUAGGGUACUUAUUUUUUACUAUUGCCUUAUUGAGUGCCCUCUAAUCAAAAUAGAGUCAUAGUCUUCCGUCGCUCUUCUGUUAGAAUAGUAUUGAUGCUCCAUAGGGUGCCUUCGGCAGUCUUAUAAAGCUCAAUCGAGGAGCUCUUGCAAUUGGUUUGCAACUCCUCGAGCUUCAACUGGACUAUUCUAUAUGGUGCUGUAAUUGGUGGCUUGGCUUCUAACUCGAGGUCAAUUGCAUAGUCCACUUCCCGCUUAGGUAGGAGUCAUUUGGGUAGUUCCUAAGGCAUAACAUUUUAGAAUUCCCUCAAGACUGCAUCAAUUUCUAUCGAAAAGACCUUCUCAAGGCCCUCAUCGUUACCUCGCAAAUGGCCGCAAGGUAAGUCAUCUCGCUAUUGUAGUGUCCAUAGGGUUUAGUUGACGGAGUGACUACAGUAUCAGCGACUAGUCGACACAUCUGGAGACUGUCGGACUGAGUUGGAGUCGUUUUUGCACAAAAUGGAUGCACAAAUGGACUUGGCGAACUCAAAUAAGCAAAACUGGUAUUUUGCCAGUUUAGGGCGCCCAGAAAUGGGUUUAGGGCACCCAGAUCUUGAGUGUUGUUUUGUAUUAGAUGCUGCAGCCAUUUCGGACCCUAUUUAAGGCACCCGAAAAUUGGAUCCGAAAAUUCACAUCGUGAAUAUCGAUUGCGUUGACACGUGGGUGUGGUAGGUGAGCUCCGCCGAAACCGGAUAGCGGUGUAGCUGACCGUCGGACGGAGGAACCGAGGUACUGUUUGUGUAGGCUGAAAGUUCUAGGGGCCCAGAACUGGGUUUAGGGCGCCUAGAUCUUGGUUUUUCUACAGCAGUGCAGGUUAGUAAAGGUUAUCCUUAAGGCUCAAUGCACCUAACCCCUACCUGUAUAAAAAGCUGUGGACGACCUCAGUGAACCCUUUUCACCUCUUCUUCAUAGGAAGCCUGCAAUUUUGCAUUCUAGCCCCUCAAUUACUCCAAAUUUCACAAUUCCACCUUGAGGAUUGCUGAUUUAGCAGAAUUACAGCAGCGACCUUCGGCGUUUUGGCUCGUGUGCGACGUAGGAAGCUCUGUUUGCCACGAAACUUAGUUUGGUGGAUUUUGGACUUCAAGACGAAUUCGUGGAGCCCAUUUUGAUAGAAUUUGGUUGAGGUUAGCUUGGUCAAUUCUGCGUUUUUCUCUGCUGCUGGUAGUUUUAAGCUGAAAUUGGGAGUUUUGGGUUUUCUUGAUGCUAUCUUUGGAGGAAGCUGGAUCUUGGACCUGAGGGUGAUUCUCCAUCAUUGUACACUGGUUUUGGGACCUUCCUCACCUGAUUUGAAGAUUGUUAGGUGAGUUUUGACAUUGGAAUUGGAGGAAUGAGCUUACGUGCUGAAAUUUGAGGGUAAUAAUGCAAGUUUUGGUGUUUUUGGUGUUUUGAUCCUUGAAGGAGUUUGGUUGCUGGUUCUAAGAUUUAGGAUAGUUUCAGCAGUGGUUCCAGCAACUUCGCGAUCUCGUGCUGCCGUGGAUUAGCGCUAGAGGUGGGUUAAUCAUCUAAUUCUCCUCCUAAGUGUAUGCAUAGUCAACAUGUAUAUUUUCAGCCUUUGUAUAUCAUAUUUUUAGCUCGAAUUCAUCGAUUAGUAUGUUAAAUGAAAUCUGAAUUUGGAGUAUACUGUAGUGAGUUAGAUAAAUUAUACAUGUUGGACUUGGAAUUGACUUAGGAGAAAACUAGCGAUUCUACACUAUCAUAUGUUAAACUAUCAGAUUUAGCUCUAGGAGCCGUAGUUUGUUUGUAUCACCACAGUUUGUGUGUAGUGGAUACCCAUAUUAGUGUAGAAUGCAUUACGUUCGUGCUGGGAUGUCGAGCUUGAGUAAUAUUCAAUUGUAGGUUCUACACUAUCAUUUCUAAAAAUUAUCAGAUAGCUCCUUAAGCUAUUGUGCUUCGUAUCCAGGCUGUUAGUGCGCAUUUGAUACUCAAAUAGCUUCUGAAGCUGUUGCGUUUCGUAUCCACGCUGUUAGUGCCCAUUCGAUACUCAGAUAGCUUCUGAAGCUGUUGCGGUUCGUAUCCACGCUGUUAGUGCGUAUUUGAUACGCGGAUAGCUUAGGAGCUGUAGUUUAUUUGUAUCGCCGCAGUUUGUGACGGUGGAUAUCCAGGAUAGUGUAGAAUGCAUUUAUACUCGUGCUGGGAUGCCAAGCUUAUUUUUUACAGCAGUGUUUAGGCUGUUUCGAACUGUUAGGUGCCGUUGAGGUUGACGAUUGACCCAGUUUGCUAUUUUUGCAUCAGAUUGUGCCGAGGGCACGUGAGUUUGGUUGUUAGACCAGUUAAACUCUGUUUACUUGACUAUAGCCUGUGAGAGCCUGAUUGAGCUCGGCAGAGAUACACUUGCAUACUCGAUUAGGUAGCACCCACGAGUGCCACUCCGAAAUCGGGCUUUGUGCGUUUGCAUUGGUGUCGUUGUGUCCUGGUUGGACUUGCUCUCCACGGACGACUUAGCAUGGGGGUAGCAGUAUAGCUUCGACAAGCGGGAUGAGUGUAUUCACAGUCCCUGGGGCUGGUGUAUUCACAGUUCUUAGUGAGAUUGGGUCAGAGAUUGCAUUAUUCUAUGAAUAAUUAGUGUUGGAUCAUGAUAAUAUAGUGGCAUAUAGCUGUAGAUUGUUUUCAGUUCCUUUACUAUCAUUUGUGCAUACUUUCUGUAGACUUGGUAGGAGCCGAUGAGAUUGAGGGCGGUACCUACUGAGGACUACUUUUUUUGCAGUAGUUUUCACGCCCAGUUGUUACCCCUCUUUUUGCAGAGCCUUCUUCUUCGGCUGCUGCUAUCGCGGAUAUCGAUCGUGGAAAGGGAGUCGCGAGCUAGAUCCCUUCCCGUUUUGCUGCUGACUUAGAGAUAUACCAGCUACAGGUAGUUGUAGUUUUUAGUUCUUAUACAUACUAAUGUUAGAUCCUCGCUGGAGCGAGUGUUUUUGUACCAGGAUGCUAUGUAUGUAUAGUAAACCAAUUUUAUUUAUAUAUUAUUCUUUUUAGCAGCUCUAUACUACUGGUUGUAGUGUUGUAUGAUUACAGGUACAAGUACAGCUAUCGCUUCGUAUAUAGAAAAAAUUUUUAUGUAUUCGGCGGGUCUGUUAGCGUGUCCGGAAAAACGAGUAAUCCGGGGCGUGAUAGCUAUGCCCCAUCCCUUUCCACAAUUGUAAAAUGAAAAGGGCCUAGGUUGUCGCUAGCUCGAUGCGGCUAGUCGGAACCAUGCAAAGGGCUGCCUCCUCCAUGAUGCUUAACUCCAAGGUAUGGCAUCGACAUUGCCUUCGACGAAGCUAGGAAGUUGCCUAGUUGUCAUUUUGUUCACAACAAUCUCCCCUACCUUUGGCCUUGCCCACCUUAGGUGGUUUGCCAUGAGUAUGAUCUUCCUUCUCAUACUCUAGUAGUUUCUUUGCUAAGGCAAUAGUGGAGCUCACAUCCUUAACGUCAUGUCCUACGAGCUCUUUGUUCGCCCAUGGUUGGAACCUAUCAAGAAAGAAGAAUAGUUGAUCCUCUUUAGCCAUAUUGGUGGUAGCUUGUCACGCCCUGGGCCCAGCGGAAGCCCGCUGGCGCGUGCACAGACCCGCCGUGUACACCAACAAACACAAUGCACAUAAGGCGUCUACUAAAUCAAGAAAUGAAUAUAGAAGUCCUAACAAGGCUAUCAGAGUGAGUACAAUAAAAAAAUCACUAGAGUUCAAGCAUAAAGAGAUACAAAAAGUAAACAACUAAAUCCAAGAGUCCAACAUAGCUCUAAACCAAAAUACAUAAUACAUCUUUUCCAAAGGUGCAAAAAGGAAAGAUGACAUCGGGUCCAACUAAAAUAUCUCCGUAGGGACUCUAGCUAGUCACUAACCCCUUGCCUCGAUCCCUAGCCACUCCCGAUACGAAUGGCUCUACAACCACAACAAAAAUGGAGGGCGUGAGAACUAUUAGAAAUAGUUCCCAGUGGGCAAGUCAAUGACCUCAGCAAAAUACUCCACUAGGCUAAAAAUAGGCAUGCUAUAAAGGUAAAUGAAUAAGCAAAUAUGAAAAGCAAGUAAUUAAACAAGAUUAAACAUAGUCAUGCCUCUACUACGAGUAUAACUAAUAUGUAUAUGAUGUUCUACUUUUAUUUGAUCAUCUAUAUGUCAAUGUCGAUUUACAUGCAUGUUCAAUUGUAUGCCAUUGUCCAUUACGUGCAUGUUCAACUAUAUGCCAAUAAAAGUUUACAUGCAUGUUCCAAUGUCCAUGAUGCUAUAAUGAGUGAUUAAGCUUUUCAUUACUAAUCUAAACUUGCAUUAUGCCUAUCAAUAUAGGUACAAUAUACUACCACUAGAGUAUCAACGCUAAGAAUGACCAACAUAUAGUCCACAAUAUGCACUAUCAUGCAUGUCUAAUAGUCCAACUAGGAUACACUCUCUAGUAGUAGUAGUAGUUUUCACAUUGUACUUUAAGUAUCAAAGUUCAAUCCUCGUCAUGGAUCUACACGUGUGUAGUCCGGCUUGCGCCGUGCCUAAAAUGGCCCCGUAGUAGUCAACAUUCCCACUUUAGGAAUGAGCCUUCCCCACGGCAUCCCAUUUCGGCGCCCAAUUCUGCACUGGCGAGCUUGUGUCGCAUAGGCUAUCUCCGGAGUGCCGGCUUGUGGGGAGCGACCCUCACAAGCAUGUAUGAAUGAGCACAAUGACAAGCAAGCGUGAUCAAUAGUAUUCAGCUCUCGGUCAUCAUGUCUAAAGCAUGGAAUAAGUACCAAUGACCCCAAAGGUCCGAUAUAGUAUUUCAUUGUCAAGAUUUAUCAUUUAGUAAUUCAAAUGUCACUGCAUGAUAAGUAACUAGUUCAUAAGCACAUAACACUUGUCAUUAUCCUAUCUAGGAUAGUUCACUAUUAUUCAAGUCUCAAAGAAAGUUUGCACUUAAACUGUUCCACUAUAGCCAAGUAAAUUCCUUUCUCAUGCCAUAUGCAUAGGUACUGUAAGAUAUGUCGAUGUCCAUGAUGCACGCCAUGCAUAUACUUUUCUACCAAUGCCUCCACUAUAUGGAGUAAUAAACUAUCAUGCAAGUGUUUUCAUACAAUUAAUGCAAUAUGCAAAUAUCCAUCUUGUCAUUUGCCCAAGGGCAUUCCAAACACUACCCUCAUGUCAAGUUCUAGUUGUGCAACUAGGUUAAAUGCUCCAAUCUUAGUCUCAUGAUGACCUUAUCAUGCACUAUGUCACUAUGUCACUAUGUCACAAUUAUCUUGUUUACAACAAGUGUAAUGUUAUUAUGCAAGAAUAUAUUAAAUUCCAAUCACCUUGUCUAUAACAAGUAUGACGUUGUCAUCAUGUUAGUUAACCAUUAUCUAACGCGUUCACUAGGUACCCCCAAGGAGUUAUACGAUCAUUCAUACUCUAACAUGCUUCCUAUAGUUGCAUAAGAUAGAAAAGUCAUCAAGUAAUGCUAGACCAUGUACAAGACUACAUAUUUGCCUCUACUACAUAGAGGACAAAUUUUUCACCAUACAUAACAUGUAUGUAUUAUGCUUUCAUAAAUUAUAACAUGUCAUUUUGAGCAUUGUUUAGUAUCUAAUUAUUUCUCGAAAUCAAAAGGUAGACAUAGGGGGGAGUUCACCCAUUUCGGUGAGGUCAAACCUACCAAAGCUCUCUGGACUCCUUUCGUUUGUACCAACGAAGAUGUCCACUAGCCUCCUAACUUCCUAGAGAAAAUUCUAAGAGAGUUAGACAAAGCAAACAAACACCCUAAGUGCUCAUCUAAGAAGCAACCAAAGAAUAAGGCAAAACUCAUCUAAAGUGUAGAAAAACCCUCUCAAAUUCCAAAAGGUGGCUAGAUCACUUCAAAUCUACCCCAACGAGUUGUUCUACACCUAUCAAUUCCAACUAAAAAUCCUCAAAUCAAAAAUCUCCAAAAUAAACCCUAAAUUCUCAUUUCUAGGUUUUCAUCUUGCUAAAUCCAUCAAAACAUGGAUAAAAAAGGGAAAAUAUGCUACUAACCUCUUUAGAAGCCUCAACCUAGACUUAAAGUGAGCUAGGGUUGAAGAUCUCUCCUCCAACAAGCUCAACACCAUGUUCCCAAGCUUCUCCCAAGGUAGAAAUGGCACCAAGAAGCAAAAAGAAGUAAAAGAGGAAGAUUAAACCUCUAAAAAAACUCAAGUAAAAAAAAGCUUAAAACCCAAGGAAAAGGAGUGGAGACCUACCCUCCUUCCUCCUCUGUCGCAGCACAAAGCCCCUGUCCAAGGGGUAGGGGCGUAUAUAAGGUAUUGCGACAAAAGCGAAAAGAUCCCUCAAAAACUGCCAAACUGCAGUUUGCACUGUGUACCGGUACACGAAAAAGUGUACCGGUACAAAACCACGGCACGCACAAACCCGAGCCUCGGGUUGAUAGAAAACUGCUAGUUGUACCGGUACAAACCCGAUGUUGUACCGGUGCAACAUCCUGUUCCGAUACAAGCUCAAUGCUGUAUCGGUACACAGCUCUGCAAAAUCCAAUUCGAGGACAGCCAACAAUCUUCACUUUUGAGACUUUGGCACUAAACUUUAAACCUCGAUUCUCGGGAUGCGAGACAUAGGUCGGAACACUGUCUACGACCCUCCAGGAUACCUGGAAAAACUCAAAUCACCUAUCGAACACUUGAACCCGCAAUUUGCAAAAGUUCAGUGUGUUACAUAGCUAGCAUCAGUUUAGAGUACUCCUUGACAUACUUAUUGAGUGUCCUAAUAUGCUUGUGCUGUGGAAGUUGCCUCUUCACAAGAUCUAGUUAAAACUGUGCCUUGAGCUCGUGCAAAAAGUCCUCCUAGCUCGCAUUGGCCUUCUCAUCCUCUGUCGCUCGCUGAUGCCACUAUAGAAUUAUUCACUGUUGAUGAGGUACAUGGAAGCAGUUUAGACUUUCUCUUCCUUGUUCUCUAAUCUUAAUGCCUUGAGGUAGUGCUCUAUGUGCCAUAAGAAGUUAUCAAUUUCUUCUCAUCUUGCAUGCCCUUGAAGCACUAGAGUUCAGGGACAUGGACCUUUGGGGUAUACUCCUUCUAUGCCUCAGCACCAUGAGCCACAUCCUUUUUGAGGCUCAUCAUCCAUAUCUUGAGGUCCUUGGCUGCAUCGACCCUAACGACAAGUUCGUCUACCGGCACCUUUCGCUUAUUCUCGUGGUGAGUGAGGUCAUCCUGAAACUGCUCAAGUUAUCAGCGAAAGGUCAUCAUGGUAGCCAUAGCGAGGUCCUUCGUAGUAUGAAGCCCAUACUUCCAUUAGCUCUAACUGUUGGGAUAGAAUAGAAUAUCGCUUUUCCAGUCUCGCAACAAUAUCCUUCAUCAAGCCUACGUGGUCUUUGAGUGAAACGAACUCCCUCGCAUGGGUCUAUGGCUUUUUUCCUCUUGCCUCGCUUGGACUGCUUGGGCUGAGGGAUUAUGUCAACGAUGGAAGCAUUUGAUGAUGACAUGGUUCCUACUUCUCGAACCCGCCCUGAUACCAAUUGUUAUGGACUUGAUUAGUCACAAUCGCUUAUCAAGUUUGUACGGUGCUCACCUUCCUUCGCCUCUCUAGUUGCUAUUCCGGACCUAUUCGUUCUACGACUCAGUAUAAGAUAGAGAGUGUGGAGGAAGAUAGAUGUAUAUUGGUAUGUACAAGCAAGAAAACUAAAUACAUACUCAUACCCAAGAUCAUAAACAAAAUAAAAUAUAACUCACAGAGCAUCAUAGAGAAGAAAUUCUUGAUCAACCUGCGAAAGCGAAAAAUUCAGCUGUAAUGUGAACGUUACCAACUGAACUCGAAUAAUUUGGUUUCUCCUUCUUUCUCAGGUACUCUUCCUUUGGUGUGAAAUAGAUGGUAAUUAUUCUUCAUAAUGCACAUGAGAAUGAGGCAGGACUAGUACCCCCUUUAUAUAAAGUUUAGAUUGACUUUUCAUCAAAGUCUUAUUAGGAUUCUAUUUAACUUAAAUAGAUAGGAAAGAGAUUAGAUAUACCAUAUCAAGUAGUUCUAUAUCUACUAAGAAUGACCUUUAUUUAUUUUAAAUCUAUAUUUGAACAUGAUUAAUUGGGCCAUAUUUAUAGAAAUCCCAACAAUCUCUCACUUGGCUUAUAUUAAUCAUAUUUCAUGAACGGAUUUUCUAUAUUCCAAACUUUAUUGUGUAUUAUUGAAAACUUUAUGGUCAAAUACCUUAUAACUUACGUGAUCCUUAGCUCAAAUUAAAAGACUAUAAUGAUAGGAACUAUGGUAGUCCACCUCUUCAUAUUGAAAAUUUUCUCCCAUAAUUAUCAUAUCAUCUUCAUCUCCUAACCAAAUACUUUACAUGACACAACUUUUUGAAUAAACUUAAAAAUAUAUAUCCAUUCGUUAAUAGACAAAACUUUACGUCUAUUAAAUGGUCAAACACAGAUGCAUCACAACUGUAACUUUAAUUAAAGAAGAUAAAAAUGUUUAAUCUUAUACAUCAAAAGAACUAAUCAGACUCAUACUACUAACAUGAUCUGUAUAUGACCCAGGUGCUAGCCCCUCGGUCAUUGGGUAUAAAAUCAUACACUACUAGAAAAUUAGUUAUUAGUGACAUUUAUUUAUGCCGCUAAAAGAUCAACGAAUGCCGCUAAAAGUUUUAACAGCAUUUGACACUAAAUGCUGUCUAUACCAAUGUUGCUAAAAGUAUUAGCAGCAUUUAUAAUAAAUACCGCCACUAUAAAUUAAUUAGUGUCAUUAGAAACAUACCGCUAAAAGGGAUUAAAUGUUAAUUUUAAGUUGUUUAUUAGCGGCACAUAAAUAUAAUGCCACUAAUACAAAUAUAAGAUUUUAGAAAAAUCAAAAUUUAAAAUUUUAUUUUGAAUUUUUUUUAGAGAAAGGUAACAUGCUACUCGCUUUAUUUAUUUCUUUUAGAAAUAAACUUAACUAGAAAUGUGAAUAAACUAGAAUUCAAACUUGAGACCUCGAGUACCAACCACCAAGCCCUUUACCACUUGUACUAAGAACUAUCAGUUAUAUAUAUAUUUGAAUUUUUUAAAUUUUAAGACUUCAAUUUAAAAUUUUAAACUUUUAAAUUUUAAAUUCUAAAUUUAGAUGCUAAAUUUAAAUUUUAAAUUUUCAAAUAUUAAAUUAUAAGUUUCAAACUUUGUAGUUUUAUUAUUUAAAUUUUAAAUUUUAAAUAAAUUUAAAAUUUUAAAAUGGGAUAUAUUUAUAAUUAUAUAUUGAUUAGUGAUGAUAAUUAGCAAUAAGUCCUGCUACUUUAUUAUAUUUAACGACAUUUAUUAAUUUAUGCUGCUAAUUUAUCCUAUUUUGCAGUAUUAAUAAUAAAUUACUGCUAAAUUAUUAAAUCUACAGACAAUUAUCAAGUAAUACUGUUAAAUAUAUUAAUUAACAUAAUUUAAAUAAAUAUUGCGGAGUAAAUAUUGCGGCAUUUAGCAAUAAGCGCUGCUAAUUUGUUACAUUUAGUGUCAUUUUUUAUAAAAUGCUGGAAACUUUAGCGGCAUUUACUAAUUUAUGCUUCUAAUUUAUCUUAUUUUGCAGUAUUAAUAGUAAAUUUCUGUUAAAUUAUUAAAUAUAGCGGCAAUUAUCAAGUAAUGCCGUUAAAUAUAUUAAUUAGCAUCAUUUAGAUAAAUGUUGCGAAGUAAAUGCCGCUAAAUCAUAAUUUUGUUGUAGUGACAGUUGGUACUAAUGUAUUCAAUCGUAACAUAAUCUUCUUCUAUCUUCUCUCUCAUAAUAAGAUAUUUAGUGUUAAAGUGUUUACACUCUGCUAUAAUUUUAUUGUUAUUGGUAAAGAAAACUGCAGCUGUACUAUCACAUAAAAUUCUUGUUGGUCGAGUAAUGGAGUCUGCAAUCUUUACGUUUUUGAUAAAAUUUUUAAGCCAAAUAGCCUUGAUGUGGUCUCGUAACAUGCAAUGUACUCUGCAGCCAUGGUCGAAGGGGCAGUAACACUUUGUUUGCUGCUUUUCGAAGAAAUCGCUCCACUAGCAAGCAAAAAAGUGUACCUAGUUGUAGACUUUUUGGUCUCUGAGCAUACAGCAAAAUCGGAGUCCGAGUACUCGAUCAACUUCAAGUGAUCUGAUCUCCUGUAUAUCAACAUAUGAUCCAAAGUUUUCUUUAAGUAUCUCAUAACCUUCUUAGCAGCCUUCAAAUGCUAAAUAUCAUACCUGCCAAGUAAUCCAAUGGCAAAAGUAAUAUCUGGACGUGUGCAUGUUUGUGCAUACAUAAGACAGGAUAGAAACGAGCCGAUCUCGAGCGAGCUUACCUCAGCUCAAAUUCGGCUUGAAAUUAAUUUUGAGCCUAAUUUUAGGCUCAAGCUCGGCUUGAAAUUAAUUCGAGACGAGCACGAGCUAGCCUAAUUUCGAGUCGAGCGAGCUCGAGCCCUAAACGAGCCGCUUGAAAUUCUCAAUAUUGUACGAUCAAUAAUUUAAUUUGUAUAAAACAUUAUUUAUAUUUUGAUACAAAAAUAUAUCUGACAGUUCAAAAAACAAAAUAAUUAUAUGAAAAACGGUAUUAUAAUAUGAAGAAAAAUUACUUAUAAGUUGAAUAUCUAACCUUUUCAGUCUCGCAUGUCUUCUCUUCUGCCUUUAAUCUCCAUAUUAUUCUUUUUUAUUUAUGCAGUCAAAAAAUGAAUAAAUUAUAUAGGCAAAUAUUUGAUUAAACUAUCUAAUCAUAUAUAACUAAAAUUAAAAUUUUAUAUAAACAAUAAUUUUUUACCUUAAAAAUAUUCUGUAUAUUUUCUCAAACACACAACGAACUAAUGGCAAGAUAGGCAACGGCGGGCGCGUGCUGUUACUUGGUAACUUGGGAGGCUACAGGUUUGGCCAGUUGGGAUGAGAGACAGAGAAAGAGAGAGAGAGAGAGAGAGAACGAGAGAGAGAUUAGGGAUUUAGGGCUCUUUGAAAUAAAGAAAGGGAAAGAGUGUAAAUUUAGUAGGAUUUUGCCCUUUUGUUGGCAUAUUCGGUUUGUUUAAUUUUUAUGGGCAUGCAAUAUUGGCUCAAUUUUAACUAAACUUCGAUUACUUACUCAACCUACAUAUAAUUAAAAUAUAUUAUAUUUAUUUAUAUAUUGUUAAUUUUAUAUAUAGAGAGAGAGUAGGUCUUGUGUGCUAUUAGGAGCACGGAGGCCUCCGUGCUCCUAAGCCAUUUUCGAUGAUGGAGUUUCCGAAUCGACGAUCGGUUCUGUUAGACUUGAUCUAACGUAUUUGAAGUAUCUAGAAAAUAAUUUUUACAAUUUUUCGAUAUCAUUUAUCUAGCGAUCGAAAGGGUUCAAAAUCAACGGCUGAAAAUAAAAAUCUCACAAAAGUGGUGAUAUAGCACUAAAGUUUUCGAUCAGAGACAUUGAUCUUGCUGUAAAUAGUAUAAAGAAUUUUCUAUCAAAAUUUCAUAUGAUUUGAAUACUUUUACACCGUUAAACUUGCAUACGAUAUACCCAACCAUUAAAUAUUGUUGAUUUUAAACCCUUUCGAUCACUAGGUAAAUGAUAACGAAAAACUGCAAAAUUUAUUUUCUAGAUUUACCUCUUUUAUCAUUUUUAUCCGUUUGAUUAUACUAUUCAUGCAACCACCCACUCAACCCUAAGGGAUCCACAUCAUCCUAACCGUACAUCUUUUAAUCCAAGGGAAGAAAACUUAAUAAGACCAAGUCAUUGGUGCUAUUAAUAAUAUUCCAGCCUAUAUAUAUAUAUAUAGUGCGUCUGGUAUGCUUCUGGAAGUACGGAGCACUCCGUGCUUCCAAGUUGUUUUCAAUGUUCAGACUUUCGAAUCGACGAUCGGCUGCAUUAGACUUGAUCUAGAGUAUUUGAAGUAUCUAGAAAAUAAAUUUUGCGAUUUUUUGAUAUCAUUUGCCUAGUGAUCGAAGUGGCUCAAAAUCAACAGCUGAAAAUAAAAAUCUUACAAAAUAUGAUGAUAUGACAUUAAAAUUUUAGAUCAAAGUUAUUGAUCUUAUUUAUACAGUAUAAAGAAUUUUCUAUCAAAAUUUCAUGUGAUUUGGAUAUUUCUACACCGUUAAACUUGCAAACGGCUCACCACGGCCGUUAAAAUUAUUAAUUUUGAGCCCCUUCGAUCACUAGGCAAAUGAUAUCGAAAAAUCACGAAAUUUAUUUCCUAGGUAUUUCAAAUACUCUAGAUCAACUAUAAUGGAGCCGAUCAUCGAUUCGAAAGUCCGAACAUCGAAAACAACUUGGAAGCACAGAGGGCUCCGUGCUUCCAGAAGCAUACCAGCCCUCUCUCUCUCUCUCUCUCUCUCUCUCUCUCUAUAUAUAUAUAUAUAUAUAACUCUCUCUCUCCCUCUCUCUCUCUAUAUAUAUAUAUAGAGAGAGAGAGAGAGAGAGAGAGUUCGGCUACUAUGCUAUAGGUAGCACGAAGCGCUCCGUACUACCAAAUUGUUUUUGAUGAUGCGGCUUCCAAAUCGACGAUCGGCUCUGUUAGACUUGAUCUACACUAUUGAAAGUAUUUGGAAACUAAAUUUCAGAUUUUUUCGACAUCAUUUGCCUAGUGAUCAAAAGAUCUCAAAAUUGAUAAUUUUAAAGGCCGAUGUGGUGUGUUUGGGAGUUUAACGGUGUAAAACAAUCCAAAUAAGAUGAAAAUUUUAUAGAAAAUUAUUUUUACUAUUUAGAGUAAGAUCAGUAUAUCUGAUCUUGAAUUUAAAUCUUUUAUCAUCAUAUUUUAUGAGGUUUUUAUUUUCAGCUGUUCAAUUUUAGAUUAUUUGUUUGAUAGGUAAAUGAUAUCGAAAAUUAUGAAAUUUAGUUUCUAAAUACUUUCAAUAGUGUAGAUCAAGUUUAACGGAGCCGAUCGUCGAUUUGGAAGUCGCAUCAUCGAAAACAACUUAGUAGCACGGAGUGCUCCGUACUACCGAUUGUAUAGUAGCCUAGUUCUAUAUAUAUAAAAAAAUCAUUCGAGCUUUGCGAUCCGAGCUCGAGUGAGCCAAAUUAAUAUCAAGCCGAACGCGAGCCAACUCGCUUAUUUGCCGGCCCUACAUAAGACUACCGACUACAGAGGUAUAGAGUAUAUAUGUUUUUCAUCGGUUCAAUUUCUUAUUGGUUCUUAGGACAGUGAAAAGUAUUAAGGUUAUCUUUUUUUUAGACAGAAGUAUCACUGGGCUUAUAAUUAUGUACUUUAAAAUUUUUCAAAACUUUCUUUACAAAGGCCUUUUGACUAGUCUGAGUAAACUUUUAUGCCUAUCCCUUUUAAUUUCAAUACCAAAAAUAUAGGUGGCCUUACCUAAAUCUUUAAUUUUAAAAUUUUAGAAAAGAAAUUUUUUAGUAUUAUGUAAGAGCCUAAAUCAUUACUGACAAGCAAAAUAUCAUCAAUAUAAAGGAUUAAGAAAAUUAUUUUACUCCGACUAACUUUCAGAUAAAUAUAUUAAUUAAUAUUAUUUUUCUUAAAACCAAAGAUCAAGAUGGUUUGUUUAAACUUUUAGUACCAUUAUCGAGAGGCAUGUUUUAGUCAAUAUAUUGAUUUAUUUAGUUUGCAUACCAAGUGCUCCUUUUUCUUUUGUGAUAAUCCAUCAGGCUGACUCAUAUAUACCUCUUUAGAGAUCCCUAUUUAAAAAAGUAGUUUUAAUAUCUAUCUGAUAUAGCUCGAGAUCGAAAUGAGCAACCAGAGUUAUAAUAACACGAAAAGAUUUUUUUAUGUAUAUUGAAAAGAAAGUCUUUUUUAUAGUCAAUACCUUCUUUCUAACUAAAUCCUUUUGCCACAAGAUUGACCUUAUAUCUCUCUAUAUUAUCCUUAGAGUCCUAUUUGGUUUUAUUAACCCACUUGCAUUCUACGGGUUUAACUCCUGUAGGUAACUCAACAAGAUUCCAUACCUUAGGGCCUGUUUGUUUGGGUGAAAGUAGAGAUGGGUGAAGUCGUUUUCGGUUGUAAAUGAUCACUUCCGCUGUUUGUUUUGCCGUAAUAAAGAUACGGUUGAAACUGGAGUUACUCGAAACAGCGUAAUUGACUUCGGCCCAUCCCGGGCCACACUACAACAAAAACAGUGUAUAGCGACAUUUUUAAAUGUUGGUACAGGUCAAAAAAAGUGCUACUGGCUAAAUUACCGACACUUUUAAAAAGUGUUAUUGUCUGCCACCACGAAUGACGCACCUCGCACGGUCGAUGGAUUUUUCGGGGCCGUGGGGUAGUAUUCAUGAUUCAGAUGAGUAUUUAUAUGUAUGUGUGGGUAUCAGGUUUUGCGAGUCCAUGGCUUCCAAUAGAUGCAAGCAUCUACUGUUAAUUACCCCCUUGAGAUUGGGGCACCUUCGAUUAAGAGACCUUUAUAGAUUGGAUGAGAUGGAUCGUAUCUCGGUUUAUUGAAUCCUAAGUAUAUAUAUUAGGAUUCAGUUGGAUUUGAGGUUGAUUAGGCCCUAAGUAUAUGUAUUAAGACCUGAUCGAUAUUAAACUCUAUGUAUUUAGAGUCUAAUUGGUUCAUGAGAUAUGGGUAUGAGAUCUGGGUAUUCGUUCAUGGGAUUUGGGUAUUAGUUUAUGAGAUUUGGGUAUUGGUUCAUAGGAUAUGGGUAUUAGGUUGGAUGUAUGGUUCAUGGAAUUUAGUCCAUGAGGUUUGGUGUAUGGUUUAUGGGGUUUGGUCCAUGAGGUUUAGUUGUGGUUCAUGGAAUUUGGUCCAUGAGGUUUGGUUGGUUCAUGGGAUUUGGUCCAUGAAAUUUGGUUUUGGUUCAUGGGAUUUGGUUCAUGAACUUGGUUUUGGUUCAUGGGAUUUGGUCCAUGAGAUUUGGUUUUGGUUUUAUGUGUGGACUUGGUUUGGAUUUAUUUGGGUUCAAGUUUGGGUUCUGGUUUUAUUUGUGGACUUGAGUUUGGAUUUAUUUGGGUUUGGAUUUUGGUCUUAUUUGUGGACUUGGUUCAGGUUGGGUUUGGAUUUGAUUUGGGUUUGGGUUUUGGUUUUAUGUGUGGACUUGGGUUUGGAUUUUAUUUGGGUUUGGAUUUUGGUUUUAUGUGUGGAAUGGGUUCGGAUUUUAUUUGUGGAUUUGAUUUGGGUUGGGUUUGCGUUUGAUUGGGGUUUGGGUUUUGGUUUUAUUUGGGGAAUGGGUUUGGAUUUUAUUUGUGGACUUGGUUUGGUUUCGGUUUAUUUUGGUUUUGGGUUGGAUGUUUAUUUGGACUUGGUUUGGUUAGCUUUGGGCCGUUUGGCUUUGUAUGUGGACUUGGUUUGAUUUGGGUUUAUUUGGGUUUUGGGUUUUGGUUUGGAUGCUUAUUUGGACUUGGUUUGGUUAGGUUUGGCUUUGUAUGUGGACUUGGUUUGGUUUGGGUUUAUUUGGGUUUUGGGUUUGGUUUGGGUUUGGACUUGAUUUGAUUUAGGUUUGUAGGUGAACUUGAUUUGCAAUUUGGGUUCGCAUAUGAACUUAAUUUGCGAUUUGGGUUCGCAUAUGAACUUAAUUUGCAGUUUAAGUUUGUGUAUAGACUUGAUUUGCAAUUUGAUUUGGGGUCCGAAGAAAUCCCCUUUUGAUUUUGCAAUUUGAUUUGGGGUCCGAAGAAAUCCCCUGUUGAUUUUGUAAUUUAAUUUGGGGUCCGAAGAAAACCCCUAUUGAUUUUGCAAUUUAAUUUGGGGUCCGAAGAAAUCCCCUAUUGAUUUUGCAAUUGAAUUUGGGGUCCGAAGAAAUCCCCGUUUGAUUUGAAUUUGAAUUUGAUCUUCAAAUUUGAUUUGGUUUGGGGUCCGAAGAAAUCCCCGUUUGGUUCUAAUUUGGGGUCCGAAGAAAUCCCCGUUUUGAUUCCAAUUCGGGGUCCGAAGAAAUCCCCUUUUGAUUUUGAUUUGGGGUCCGAAGAAACGAGGAAUCAAAGAUUCCCCUCCCCUCUUCUUGCGAUGCUGCGGAUGACGUCGACGAAGUUGAUGACGGUGGCGUGGAUCUGUUCGGCCAUCGGAUUUGAUUUGACAUUUUCGAAUAAGUAUUGAAGGGUCCGAAGAAACGGGGAAUCAAAGAUUCCCCUCCCCUCUUCUUUCGAAAAUAUCAAACCGNUGGGGUCCGAAGAAAUUCUUUUUUGAUUCUAAUUUAAUUUGGAGUCCGAAGAAAUCCCCUUUUUAAUUCUAGUUUGUUUUGGGGUCCAAAGAAAUCCCCUUAUUGAUUCUAAUUUGAUUUGGGGUCCGAAGAAAUUUCCAUUUUGAUCUUGAUUUUGGGUCCGAAGAAAUCCCCUUAUUGAUUCUAAUUUGAUUUGGGUUCCGAAGAAAUUUCCGUUUUGAUCUUCAUUUGGGGUCCGAAGAAAUCCCCGUUUGAUUCAUGAUUUGGGGUCCGAAGAAAUCCCCGUUUGAUUUAUGAUUUGGCGUCCGAAGAAAUCCCCGUUUGAUUUUUGAUUUGAUUUGGAUCUAAGCUGGUCUGAAAGUUUCGUGAAUUGAUUCAAUGUUCUCGGAAAAGAUUGAAGGGUCCGAAAAAAUAGGAAAUCUUUGAUUCCCCUCCCCUCUUCUUUCGAAAACACUAAACCGGUGAUGCUGGAGAUGACGUCGGUGAAGAUGAUGACGGUGGCGCGGAUCUGUUCGGCCAUCGAAUUUGAUUUGACAUUUUCGAAAGAUGUUGAAGGGUCCGAAGAAACGGGAAUCGGAGAUUCCCCUUCCCUCUUCUUUUGAAAACACCGAACCGGCGAUGCUGGAGAUGACGUCGGUGUAGAUGAUGACAGUGGCGCGGAUCUAUUCAGCUGUCGGAUUUGGUUUGACAUUUUUGAAAGAUGCUGAAGGGUCCGAAAGAAACGGGGAAUUGAAGAUUCCCCUCCCCUCUUCUUUCGAAAAUAUCAAACCGGCGAUGCUGUAGAUGUCGUUGGGGAUGGUGGCGUGGAUCUGUUCGGUCAGCCAAUUUGAUUCAAUAUUUUCAAAAAUGUUUUGAAGGGUCCGAAGAAACGAGGAAUCAAAGAUUCCCCUCCCCUCUUCUUUUCGAAAAGAUCAAAACGGCGAUUGUAGACGUCGUCGACGGAGUUGUUAACAGUGGCAUGGAUCUGUUCGGCCAGCAAAUUUGAUUCGAUAUUUAUCGAAGAAAUGUUGAAGGGUCCGAAGAAACAGGGAAUCAAAGAUUCCCCUCCCCUCUUCUUUCGAAAGUAUCAAACCAAACAUGCUGGAGAUGGUCGCGGCAAUGUAGAUCAUCCAUUCCAUCAUCAACGACUUCGAAUGGGGUAUUGAGAGGUCCGAAGAAACGGGGAAUCAAAGAUUCCCCUCCACUCUCCCACCGAAGCCAUCUAGAUGAUAUGGAUGGCUACGAUCGUCGGACAAAAGAAAAAAAAAAAAAGAGGGGGAAGAAAAGAGAUCUUUUUUUUGUUUUAUUAUUAUUUUUACUUUCUUUCUUUUUUCUUUCUUUUUUACUACCUGCUGAUGGAUUCGAUGAAGCGGCUCAACGAUCUCUCUCUCUUUCUGCGGCUCGGCGAUUUCUCCUUCUUUCCACGGCUUGAGUGAUAUCUCCUCCUUUCCUCGGCUCGGCAAUGUAUCCUCCUUUCAGCAGCUCGGCAAUAUCUCCUCCUUUGAAUAUUUUGAACUUGGAAGUGUGUAGCAAUCUAUCUAUCGUGUCGUCUCUCUCCAAAAAAUUUCUCCCCGAAUUUGAUUUCGGUUCCCAUAUUUAUAAUGGGAAGGGAGGAGUUAGUUAAGAAUUCAAAAUUCGAAAUUCGAAUUUUGAAUUAUUUGUUGGAUGGUUGGAGGAUAUUUGGGGGGUGGUUGGGAGUUCAAAAUUCGAAUUCGAAAUCGAAUGAGUUGUUGGAUAGUUGGAAGAUAUUUUGGGAGUUGGUUAGGGAAUUCAAAAUUCGAAAUCGAAUUUUGAAUGGGUUGUUGAAUGAUAUUUUGGGAAUUUGGUUGGGAAUUCGAAAUUCGAAAUCGAAUUUCGAAUAGGUUGUUGGAUGAUGUUUUGGGAAAUGGCUGAAAAUUCGAAAUUCGAAAUCGAAUUUUGAAUGGGUUGUUGGAUGAUGUUUUGAGAAUUGGUUGAGAAUUCGAAAUUCGAAAUCGAAUUUCGAAUGGGUUGUUGGAGGAUGUUUUGGGAAUUGGUUGAGAAUUCGAAAUUCGAAUCGAAUUUCGAAUGUGUUGUUGGAUGAUAUUUUGGGAAUUUCAAAUUCGAAUUUUGAAUGGAUUAUUGGAGGAUAUUUUGGUAAUUUGUUGGGGGUUCAAAAUUCAAAAUUCGAAUUUUGAAUGGAUUAUUAGAUGGUAUUUUGGGAAUUCAAAAUUCGAAAUUCGAAUUUUGAAUGGAUUAUUAUUUGAAAUCGGAUUUCGACUAGAAACUUUAUAAGGUGUGGGUGUGGGCCGUCGUUGAUCAGACCCACCUUAAUUUAUUGGGUUCAAAUGAUAAUGAGCUGAAAUAAAGGCCCACCCUCACUUUUUUUUUUUAUUUAUUUUUUUUUUUUUAUUUAUUUGUUUGGGCUUUCGUAAUGGCUCACCCACUCACAUUUUUUUUUUAUUUGUUUGGGCUUUCGUAAAGGCCCACCUACUCACAUUUUUAAAUGGGCUUAUUGUAUAUUAUAAUUAUUGACCCGAGAAAAUUAAUGAUUAAUACGAGACCUAUUAGGAUUGUAUGAACUCGAAUCUAAUUAUUUUUUUAUUAGGAUUAGGAUUGUUUCAACCUAUAUAUAUAUAUAUAUGUAUGACAAGUAUUAUUUUACCUCAAACAGUUAUUAUAUGUGGGGUCGCUAGGUAUAUAGUGGCAGUUUAAGAGUGUCGGUAUAACCUAAAAAGAGUACUGCUAAUUUACCAACACUUAUUUAAGUAUUUAGCAACCGCCGAGCCUCUACCUCGUUGGCUGCGGUAGCGGAGGAGGAGGAGACCGAAGAGCUCUUCGUCUAGGGUUUCAGUAGAUUGAGUGAGGGGAGAAGGAGAUAUGGUGAUCAAUUUUUCCUUUUUUGUUUGUAAUCGGGCCGAAUGGGCUGGGUGAGGUGAGUUGAAUAGAGUAAGCUUUUAUUUUGGUUGGAUUGGACUUUAUAUUUAGGCCUUAGUAAAUUUUUUUUUAAAAGUUUUGUCAUAAAUGAGACAUUUACCCAAAAUUGUUUCAAACAUAUGUUCCUAUAAUUUAAUUCUAUUGUAGUGCCGUUGGAUUAAGGAAUCAAGGAUAUAUACUAAUGUGGUAAGUAGUAAUAAAAAGAAACAAAAGUCGAACCAAAUUUGCACCAUAUCUACCAUUAUUCCAUUACCUCUAAUUAGUACAUUUUUCCAAAGGAAAAAAGAAUUAAAGGCAUACUUAUUUUUGUAUUCUAAUUUUUUGUUUUGAGAAUUAAGUUUGUAUCUAUUAAUUAUGAUUUUUAAUAUGUAAGCUUACAAAUUAUCUAAUUAUGUAUUGUUCCCAACAUACCAAGAUCUGUGGAACCACCAACUGUACUUCUAGAGCAAGUGGCAAAGGACUUGAUGGUUGGUAUUUGAGAACCAAGUUCGAAUCUUAGUUGAUUCAUAUUUCUAGCUAAAUUUAUUUCUAAAUAUAACAAAUGAAACGGAUAGUGUGCUAUCUAUCUCAAAAAAAAAAAAAAAAAAAAAAAAAAUCUGUCGAACCACGGCUAUCACUGCUAUUGCUAUAGAGCGAAUCCAUUAUGAGAUACUCGAAUAGCAUUUCACCUAAAACUAAUACCGCACCAUACAGUGCGACUAAAUGGGCCACGUAUGCUCCCACUGAUCUUAAGCGCCUCAACACCUGUUUGGUAUUUUUUUUUUUCUAUUUUAAUCACACAGAAAGUGCGAAAAAGACAUGCAAUUAAUCUAUUAUUUAUUCUCAAAUAACACACCGUUACUAAGCCUUAUCUAAGUAUUACAUUAUUCUAGUGAAAUAAAAACUCAAAAAUUUAGAACAAACAAGAGUUACAAAACUGCAAUUCUUGAAACCUUAGCACUUUAUGGAAAUAAACAGUACUCCGUACCUUACAUAAACAACAUAGACAUCACAACCUUAAUUGAUUAGUACGCAGAUCCUAAUUAAUAUUUUUCCUCUCUCUUUCCAAUCUGAGUUGGUAAGCCUCCUUUCAUUUUGAGCGACAGUGAGAAUUCAUGCUCAGGAGCGCUCUUCUUUCCCACAACACUAAGCUGAAACCUUUCAAGCAAACAAGCCGCAAUGGACUUCAUCUGUAUAUAAGCCAUCUCCUUCCCCAAGCACAUUCUCGGUCCGGCAUGAAACACCGGGUAACGGAACGGGUUCUCUGGCCGGAAAACCCCAUUUUCCAACCACCUCUCCGGCUUGUACUCUUCGCAAUUCUCCCCCCAUAUUUCCUUCGAUCUUCCCAUAGCAUAAGCAUUGUAUGUUACAAACCAUCCUUUCCCCACGAACGUUCCGUCCGGCAGCGUAUCGUCCUUUUUGCAUGAUUGCCUAUCAAUAGGCACAGGAGGGUAUAAUCUCAUCGUCUCCGAUAUCGCAGCAUGCAAGUAGUGCAUCUCUCGUAGCUCGUCAAAGCUGAACAUCUCGCUCGAAUUCGAAUUCAUUUCUCGGACUGUUCUAAUCUCUUCUACAAUCUUUUUUUCAACAUCGGGUCUCGUAGAUACAAUCCAGAAGAACCAUGUCAGUGCCGACGAAGUAGUCUCGCGGCCAGCAACAAGGAAAUUUAUCACGUUAUCGCGAAGGAGCUCUUCUGAGUGGUCUUCAUACGAUGCAAAUCGGGACAGGAGAUCGCUCUUCCGAUCCAAAGGCCUCUCCUUUCGUGACCGAAUAAUGUCAAGAGCAUAGUUGUGGACGAUCGAGAUCCCUUCUUUUAUGCGCUGCUCCGAUCCGAUAUUGAGUAGCUUCUUGAUCCUCCAUGUCACAUUCAGUGCAUCCAAGAGCCGCCAUCCGAUGAGGUACUGCGUUUCUCCGAAAGCCCGCAUGAAGUCAGAGCUCGUGCCAGCAAAGCCUUCUUCAGUGAGGGAAGCGGGAUCAGCAUCGAAGGCCACCUUGCAGAUGUUAUCGAAACCAAAACGUUCGAGAACGUCCUGCAUCUCGACGAUCUCUUCUCUUUCUUCCGCUUUGUUCAACAACGGCAACAAUCUGUGCUGUAUCUCAAAUUGCACUGCAUCCACCACGAAGUUACGGAGGGAUUUCGUAUUGAAUUCGUGGCUCGCCACUUUUCUCUGCUGCUUCCAAUGCUCCCCAUCAGAGUUAAAGAUUCCACGGCCAAAAAAGUCUUCGAACAAGGCGAGCGAGCGCUCGCCCUUCGGGUAGUUUUUGAAGUUGAUUUUCAGCAUGUGCUCCACAUUUGCGGGGUUGGCGGUGAUGACGCCGCUGGCCUGCCCGAGGCUUCGGAAGACCAUCGUGCGCGUCGGGCUUGCGAGGAGGAUUUCGGUCGUCCAUUCGAGGAACCGGUGGCGGUUCUUGAUGAACUGCGGGAGGUAGCCGAGAAUUGGGUAGGGUUUUAGGCCGUAGGCGGUGGGUUUUCGUGGUUGGUCUUGACGGAAGAAGAUGUAGAGGAAGAAGGGGAGAAGGAAGAGAAGAACUAGCAGUUGGAGAGUGAAGAGCUCCAUAUCUACUAUCUCACUGCAUUCAGCUAGCGAACAAACACUUGGUAGGAAAACGAAGAAUAAUACAUGGUUUAUAUAAUGCGUUUCAUCGGCUAGCUUUUUUAUUUUAUUUUUUAUUUAGGACCCCAACAACAGGCAAUUUUGAAUUGGUCCCCUUAUGGUUGAGCCCUUGUCUUGUCUUUCUCUUUCUUUUUCUUUGUUUUCGUUUCCUUCUCAAGUGUAUGUUGUGGAAUUUACAGCCCACCUAUAGUUUGGUUUAGAUAGCUGUGUAAUUAGAUAUAUUUUAUAUUUUAGAUUAGGUUGAUUUAAUUGACCAUUAAUCCUUUAGAUUAGAUAGCGGUUGGGUGGGAAAGGAGUUUACGGUAUGUUUUUUUUUUAUUAUUCUAUUAUGGUUUGGUUCGAAAAUAAGUUAUUCUUAUUUAUUUCAACAUGAAUUGUGUUGUUCAAAAUUAAAAUUUUUUAUUAAUUAAUUUAUAAAUAAUAAUAAUAAUAAUGAAAUAUUGCUAAUUAAUAACUAGGAGCGUAUUUAAUCUAGAUGGAGGUUGAUUUUCGUGGAUAUCAGCUAUCAAGCUCUUUACCCCUUACACUAAAGACGGACGGUAGGUAAUUCAAUCAGGAUUUAUUAAUCAUAGAAAAAGAAGGCUAAGAAAACUUGUGUAGGCCUCCGCUACAACUUAAAAAAAUUAAUUUGUAACCACCUUGGGCAGCAAGGAAAAUCCUUGGGCACCAAGGAAAAUGCUUACUUGGGCACCAAGUACAUGUGUCCAACUCGUGGCCCCAUCUCCGAUUCUCCGCAGCCAUCACCCUUCAACAUUGAACAUUAAUUGCACUACAAAAAAUAGCAAAGUAGGAACAGAAAUCAGAAGCUGAAAAAAUAAAUAAAAAGAAAUGGUUAAAUAAUGAAUGAAGACCCCUUCGCCUAUUGUCCACCGUGAAAUUAGUCCCUCAACAUAAUAUUUUGUUUUUUUUUUUUUCUAUUUUGAAUUUUUUUAAUUGAAUUUUUUUUAUCAAAUAACUUUAAUAUGAUAUAUUUAGCUAUGAAUCCAUCAAAUUUAAUAGUUUUAGCUACUUUCUAGAACAUAAUUCUAUUUUUUUUUAUUUUCGAUUUUUGAAUGUUAAAUAUUUGAAUUUCUUCUAAAUUGUCACGCCCCAAGUCCCGUCAAUUUAGACCACUAGGAAUAUAUAUGCAACAGACCCGCUGGACAGGUAAAUUUUUUUUCUACCUGCACAAAGCGAAAACAUAAGCCAAUCUGUAUAACACACAUGAUAUAGAUAUAUAAACUAUCAGAGUAUGAAGCUACUAAACUGAACUAAAAGUUUACAAUGCUUGACUUCCCGAAAUAUUAUAUUAUUUUGUUUAUACAAAAAGGGCACUUUUUUCUAGACCAGCUAACCAUGAUCUAUUUAGCUCACGAUGGUCUUUGCCGUCAUCCCAUGCUGCGCCGGCAAAAGAAAGCUAUGAAAAGGUGUAAAUAACAACGCGAUGAAAACUUUAAAUAAAUUUUUAUUGGGUGCAACUGCCAAAAGUAAUACUCUACACUCACUUGGUUCAAAAGAGGCAUUAGUAGAUAAUAACGAUAACUGGAAUAACUAUGCAAGAGAAAGUGUUAUAACUACUAUGCCUCAAAUACAUAUACAAUUAAUAUGUGAUAAUGACCAUAAAGUUUUCAAUAAUACACAAUAAAGUUUGGAAUAUAAAAAAUCCGUUCAUGAAAUAUGAUUAAUAUAAGUGAAGUGAGAGAUCGUUAGGAUUUCUAUAAAUAUGGCCCAAUUAAUCAUGUUCAAAUAUGGAUUUACAAUAAAUAAAGGUCAUUCUUAGUAAAUAUAGAACUACUUGAUAUAGUAUAUUUAAUCUCUUUCCCAUCUAUUUAAGUUAAGUAGAAUCCUAAUAAGACUUUGAUGAAAAGUCAAUCUGAACUCUAUAUAAAGAGGGUACUGGUCCUGCCAUCUUUUCAUAUGCAUUCUGAUGAAUAAUUACCAUCUAUUUCACACCAAACGGAAGAGUGCCUGAAAAAGAAGGGGAAACCAAAUUACUCAAGUUCAAUUGGUAACGUUUAGAUUACAGCUAAAUUUUUCACUUUCGCAGAUUGAUUAAGAAUUUCUUCUCUAUGGUGCUCUGUGAGUUAUAUUUUAUUCUGUUUAGGAUCUUGGGUAUGGGUAUGUAUUUAGUUUUCUUGCUUUUACAUACCAAUAUACAUCUAUCUUCCUCCAAACUCUUUAUCUUGUACUGAGUCGUAGAACGAAUAGGUCCGGAAUAGCAACUAGAGAGGCGAAGGAAGGUGAGCACCGUACAAACUUGAUAAGCAAUUUUGCCUAAGUCCAUAAUAAUUGGUAUCAGGGUGGGUUCGAGAAAUAGGAACCAUGUCGUCAUCAAAUGCUGCCAUCGUUGACAUCGUCCCUUAGCCCAAGCGGCCCAAGCGAGGCAAGAGGAAAAAAGCCAUAGACCCAUGCGAGGGAGUUCGUUUCACUCAAGGACCACAUAGGCUUGAUGAAGGAUAUUGUUGCGAGAGUGGAAAAGCGAUAUUCUAUUCUAUCCCAACACUUAGGCCCUGUUUGGAUGCAUAGUUAAAAAACUCCAUGGAAUUUUUAUUCUAUGGUUUUGGUCUAAACGAAAUACGGAAUCCUGUAACUACAAAAAAUUUCCACAGCUUCAUUUUUAAGCUGUUUGGAUAUAUAUCAUACAAUUCCACAGUAUUUAUAAUAACUAAAUUUCUAAAAUUUUAAAAUUCAAAAUUCAAAAUUCAAAAUUUAAAAAUAAAAUUGUAAAAAUUAAAAUUCAAAAUUCAAAAUAUAAAAUUAAAAUUUAAAAUUUAAAAUUAAAAAAGUAAAUUAGAUUUUAUGUUUUAAAUUUGAAAUUUGAAAUUUGGAAUUUGAAAUUUCAAUUUUGAAAUUUGAAACUUUAAAAUUAAAAACUUAAAGUAUACCAUUUAAACUUUAAAUUUUGAAAUUUAAAAAAUCUAUAAUUAAAAUUUUAAAUUUCAAAUUUAAUAAUUUAUAAAUUUACAUAUUUAUAAAUUUAAAAUUUUAAAGUUAAGUUUAAAUUUAAAUUUUGAAGAUUGAAAAUUAAAAAUUAAUUUGAAAUUUGAAAUUUGAACUUUUUGAAAUUUGAAAUUUGAAAUUUGAAAUUUGAAAGUUGAAAGUUGAAAGUUGAAAGUUGAAAUUUGAAAUUUGAAAAUUGAAAAUUGAAAAUUGAAAUUUUAACUUUUUGAAAUUUGAAAAUUGAAAAUUGAAAAUUGAAAAUUGAAAUUUGAAAUUUGAAACUUGAAAUUUGAAGUUUUUGAAAUUUGAAAUUUGAAAUUUAAAAUUUGAAGUUUUUGAAUUUUGAAAUUUGAAAUUUAAAAUUUAAAAUUUAAAAUCAAAAUUAAAUUUGAAUUUUAAAAUUUUAAAAUUUGAAAUCUAAAAUUUUAUGUUGAAAUUUAAAAUUUAAAAAUUGAUACAUCUUUGGGAGCCCAAAAUAGUGGAAUUUUUUUUCCUUUGGUUAAAGUGGAUUGUAAGUUUACUCCAUUUUUUGGAGUAUAGUAUAACUAUGCUCCAAAAAUUACGUCAUUUUUUUUUUCUUCCAAACGCUUCAUAGGAUUAUUUUCCUACCGGCGUAGCAUAGUUUAACUAUGCUACGUUUUUAGAGGUAUCCAAACGGGGCCUUAGAGAUGAUGGAAGUAUGGGCUUCAUACCACGAAGGACCUCGCUACAGCUACCAUGAUGACCUUUCGCUGAUCACUCGAGCAGUUUCAGGAUGACCUCACUCACCACCAGAAUAAGCGAAAGGUGCUGGUGGACGACCUUGUCGCUAGGGUCGAUGCAGCCGAGGGCCUCAAGAUAUGGAUGACAAGCCUCAAAAAGGAUGUGGCUCGCGGUGUUGAGGCAUAGAAGGGGUACAUACCAAAGGUCCAUAUCCCUAAACUCUGGUGUUUCAAGGGCACGCAAGAUGAGAAGAAAUUGAUAACUUCUUAUAGCACAUAGAGCACUACCUCAAGGCAUUAUGAUUAGAGAACAAGGAAGGGAAAGUCUAAACCGCUUCCAUGUACCUCACCAACAGUGAAUAAUUCUAUGGUGGCGUCGGCAGGCGACAGAGGCUGAAAAGGGCCAAUGCGAGCUAAGGAGGACUUUUUGCACGAGCUCAAGGCACAGUUUUAACUAGAUCUUGUGAAGAGGCAACUUCGAUAGCACAAGCAUAUUAGGACACUCAACAAGUAUGUCAAGGAGUACUCUAAAUUGAUGCUAGCUACCACCAAUAUGGCCGAAGAGGAUCAACUAUUCUUCUUUUUUGAUGGGUUCCAACCAUAAGCGAACAAGGAGCUCGUAGGACAUGAUGUUAACGAUGUGAGCUUCACUAUUGCCUUAGCGGAGAAGCUACUUGAGUAUGGGAAGGAAGAUCAUACUCAUGGAAAACCACCUAAGAUGGGCAAGGCCAAAGGUGGGGGAGAUUGUUGUGAACAAAAUGACAACUAGGCAACUUCCUAGCUUUGCCGAAGGCAAUGCCGAUGCCAUACCUUGGAGUUAAGCAUCAUGGAGGAGACAGCCCCUUGCAUGGUUCCGGCUAGCCGCAUCGAUGUCACGCCCCGGGACCCAGCGGAAGCCCACCCGGCGCGUGCCCAGACCCACCAUACGUCUAAAACAUAUAAGACGUCUAAAAACAACAAUAAUAAAAGCAAUAAUAAAAGACAUCUAGGAGUAUCAGAGCAUAAUAAAUGUCUAAAUGCUACAACAAGGGAUAAGGAUAAAGCUAUAAAUCCACUACAUAAAACAUAAAGUGUUAUAAGGAAAUCUCAGAUACAAGUGCUAUAGGUAGAUACAUAGGUGGUCUCUAUACAUGGAUACAAAACCUCUCACACUCUCAACUACAAAAAGAAGGAGUAAACCACCUAGGCAAAGAACCGCUCCUCGCUAGCUAGCUAAGCAAUCCCCUUACCGCGAUCCCGUGCCUCCGCCGGUGCCGAAGGCUCUGAAAAGGAAACCAUAAAACAGGGGAGUGAGAACUAUUAAAAAUAGUUCCCAGUAGGCAAUUACUGACUUCAGUGAAUGCACUACAAGGCCCAAAGCUACAAAAGAUGUCAGUGAGAGUAACAAUAGAAAAGCGAAAGGUAAGUAAAAAUAAUGUAACCUACUACCACAUGAUAUCUCUACUUAGCGUAAUUAGCAUAAGUAUGAAGCAAUUAUGCAUGAAGUAAAAGUCUCCAACUAUCAUAAUGUUCACAAUGCGAAAUAGUAAAGUUCCGUUGUUUACUAUUCUAGUCAAUGUCCAAGUAGUACACUAAGUCAUCAUCUGUCCACAUGUCAUAGUGAAUACUCAAAGUCAAAUCUGAAGAGACCCACCCGAAGGCUGUCUAUGGCCCUGAGACCCACCCGUUGGCUGUCUGGCCGGUGCCGAGCCUAAUGGCCCCGUGGUAGUCAUCAUCCCCACCCUAGGAAUGAGCCUGUCCCACGGCAAUCCACUUCGGCGCCCAAUCCCGCACGGCGAAUAUGAAUCGCGAUGGCUAUCUCCGGACUGCCGGCUUGUAGGGAGCGACCCUCACAAGCAUGUGCGAAUGAGCACAAUGGCAAGUAGUCAAACGAUCUGUCGCAAGUACCAAGUCCUCAUGUCUAGUAACAUGGAAUGUGUCAAGUACCCCAAUGGCCUAUCCCUAUGUCAUCAUGUCUCUAACAUGGAAUGUGGCGGAUAAGUAGUGGCCUAUCAAUAUGUCUCUAUGUUGCAGUUUCAUAGUUUACUAGUUUCAAGUGCCCCUUUAUGACACUCUUGUUCUCUAUGUCAGAGCAUGGCAACUAUGUUCCAAAGUACAUAUUCCAACUCAUAAUCCUCAUAAGUGAUGUAUUUUUCACUUGCAAAUAAACACUUUUCCCAUAUGCAUGCAUUCUACUCAUAUAGCCCUACUAUAUAGUGAAAUUUUCAUAAUACACAAGACAUGCAUUUUAAGUGCUCUAAAAUUCAUAUAAAUUUCAUUUAGCAUAGAAAUGAAUUUAAAAAAUAUUUUACAACAAGUAGAAAGAGCAUAGGGGCCAUUUCGCCACAUUUUCACGAAGCCAAACCCACCAAAAUCGACUUCUUCGUUUCGCCGAACGAAGGUAUCCACAAGCUUCCUAGUACCCUAGAAACAUCAAAAAUAGGCUCACCCAAACGAAACGAAGAGCAAAUAGCUCAAUCAUUAAGCUUCUCAAGCUAGGGUUGGGAAAAACUCACCUCAAGUGAAAAACCCUCUCUUAAUCUUCAAAUGGAAGGUAGGGGUCUUCCAAUCUAACUCAUAUAAAGGUUCCAAACCAUUCAAAUGAGAUCAAGAAGCCUCAAAUCCAAAAACCCCAAAAAUAAACCCUAAAUCCCAAAAUCUAGGGUUUCAUCUAGUAAAACCUAGGAAAACAUGUAUCAAAUGGGGAUUACAAGCUACCAACCACAAGAGAAGCUCCAAUCCAAGCUCAAAACCAAGUAGGGUUGAAGUUUGAUCUACCACAAAGCUCCAAAAGUAAGCUCCAAGCCUCCAAAGGUGAGAAAUGAGGAAGAAAAUGGUGCUCCAAGGCCUCCAAGCAAGCUCCUCUCCUCUCCUUCUCCUUCUUCUCCUUUCCUUUCUCUCUCUAGAAGUGUAGGAAGAGUGUGAGGGAGAGAAAAUAAGAGUGAGAGGGGAGGAGAGGCUGCCUAUAUCCUCUAAGGUAACAAAAUCCAGCAAGGCCCCUCAAAAACUCAAAUUUACAUCAGCCCGGUCUGGGCAGUUUUCGCCUAGAGGGACCGGUCUCCCCGACGUGGGACCGGUCUCUCAGCCUGCCCCCGAAAAUCCAACGUUCGGGAACCAGUCUCUCCAUGUGCGGGACCGGUCUCUCCCCGCGCAGACGCGCUCGGGGACGGGUCUCGACUGCCAGCGACCUGUUGCCUCGCCGGCUACGCAGCACUGUUCACUGGGGGACCGGUCUCUCCUAUCAGGGACCGGUCCCCAAGAGUAAAAACUCUCAGGACUCUGCCAAAACUCUCGAGAUCGAACUUUUAGGCCGGGAUACCAUCGACGGCCCUCCACCAAGUGUGGAAAAGUUCGGAAUAUAAAUCGAACACUCAAACCUCGCAAUUUGCAAUGGUCCAGUGCGCUACAUUCACCCCUCCUAAAAAGGAUUUUCGUCCGCGAAACUCGAAAGCAAAAGCAUACCUCAAGACUCCAUCUGAAAAAGAUGGGGAUAGCGCUCCUGCAGCGCAAUCUCUAGCUCCCACGUGGCCUCCCGCUCCGCGUGGUUGCUCCAAAGAACCUUUACAUACGGAAUAUCCCGAUUCCGCAGCUUCUUCACCUCGCGAGCCAAAAUCUUCACGGGUUGCUCCUCGAAGCUCAGAUCCUCGCGCAGCUCCACUGGUAUAGUUCCCAAAACAUGAGCUGGAUCACGAAUNGGCAGUUUUCGCCCAGAGGGACCGGUCUCCCCGACCUGGGACCGGUCUCUCAGCCUGCCCCCGAAAAUCCAACGUUCGGGAACCGGUCUCUCCCUGCGCGAGACCGGUCUCUCCCCGCGCAGACGCGCUCGGGGACCGGUCUCAACUGCCAGGGACCGGUUGCCUCGCCGGCUACGCAGCACUGUUCACUGGGGGACCGGUCUCUCUUAUCAGGGACCGGUCCCCGAGAGUAAAAACUCUUAGGACUCUGCCAAAACUCUCGAGAUCGAACUUUUAGGCCGGUAUACCCUCGACGGCCCUCCACCAAGUGUGGAAAAGUUCGGAAUACACAUCGAACACUCGAAUCUCGCAAUUUGCAAAGGUCCAGUGUGCUACAAUCGAGCUAGCGGCAACCUAGACCCUCUUCAUUUUAUAAUUGCGAAAAGGGAUGGGGCAUAGCGAGAUGACUUACCUUGCGGCUAUUUGCGAGGUAAUGAUGAGGGCCUUGAGAAGGUCUUUUCGAUUGAAAUUGAUGCAGUCUUGAGGGAAUUCUAAAAUGUUAUGCCUUAGGAACUACCCAAGUGACUCCUACCUAAGUGGGAAGUGGACUAUGCGAUUGACCUCGAGUUAGAAGCCAAGCCACCAAUGACAACACCAUAUAGAAUAGUCCAGCUGAAGCUCGAGGAGUUGCAAACCAAUUGCAAGAGCUCCUCAAUUGAGCUAUAUAAGACUGCCAAAGGCACCCUAUGGAGCACCAAUACUAUUCUAACAGAAGAGCGACGAAAGACUAUGACUCUGUUUUGAUUAGAGGCCACUCAAUAAGGUAAUAGUAAAAAAUAAGUACCCUACCACUUUGGUUGCAGACUUUGACCAGCUAGGUGGGGUGAAGUAUUUCACCAAGCUCGAUCUCCACUCAGGGUAUAUCAAGUCCGAAUUGUGGAAGUAGAUGAAGAGAAGACCACAUGUGUGAUGAGGUACAUGGCCUAAGAGUUCCAUGUCAUGCCAUUCAUCCUGACAAAUGCACCGACGACCUUCUGCACUCUUAUGAACAAGCUAUUCCACCCUUAUCUCGGUCACUUCAUGGUAGUGUGCACCUCAACGUCAUCGUUGUGUAUAGCAACACAUUGAAGGAGCAUGUCGAGCAUCUAUGGACCAUCUUUCAUGUAUUGCGAGAGAACCAGCUUUUUAUUAAGAAAAAGAAGUGCUCCAUCAUGAAGAAUUAGGUACACUUCCUUGGCCAAUAGAUGGGCCAGGGGCAACUCCACAUGGACCACCGGAAGGUGUGGGCAAUCUACGAGUGGGGGACACUCAUGAUAGUGUAUGAACUGUAAUCCUUUCUCAAACUCAUCAACUACUAUCGCCGCUUCAUCGUGUGCUACUCUACACAAGUGGCUCCGUUGGCGGACCUACUAAAGAAGAACUAGGCAUGGGAUUGGACUGCUUAGUGCGCGGAGGCAUUCGAGGACCUUUAGUGGGCAAUGACGGAGGAUCCAGUACAACGACUUCUUGAUUGCAAUAGUCCAUUCAAAGUGCAUAUAGAUAUUUCGGACUUUGCCAUUGGCGAUAUUCUCAUGUAGGAUGGGCAACCCAUCACCUACAAGAGCCGUAAGCUGAAUGACAUUGAGCGGCGAUGCAUUGUUUAGGAGAAGGAAAUGAUCGUCGUGGUGCAUUCUUGAGGACUUGGCAUUACUACCUUCUCAGGAUCAAGUUCGUGGUGCAGACGAACAUUAGCACCACGAGCUACUUCCAAACCCAAAAGAAGGUAUCACCAAAGCAGGCGAGAUGACAAGACUUCUUGGCGGAGUUCGUGAAUCCCGAAGAGCAAUCCCGAAGAGCGAUCGUGAAUCCAGGUUUAUGGGCAAGUUUUGGACAAAGAUAUUUUAGAUCUUAGGGUCGGAGUCGCUCUUCUCCACCAGUGUCCACCCACAGAUGGAUGGGCAAAUAGAGCGGGUGAACACCCUAUUGAAGGAAUACCUAUGACACUUUGCGGGUUCCUACUAGAAGAACUUGGUGCACCAUAGUAAUGUGGCUCAAUUCUCUUACAAUUUGCAGCUGAGUGAGUUCACAAAUCUAAGCCCAUUCGAGCUGGCGAUAAGGAGAUAACUGACGGCCCGACACACAGUCAGCGAGUGAGGCCACAGCCCAUGGCCCUCCAAUUCACUUCAAAACUACAGAAAAGGGCGAGAUCGCCAGGGCCUAUCCAAAGAAGAAGGCCUGCCGAAUGACCAAAUGGGUUGAUGCAACGCGGCGGCCAUUGGAGUUUGCUGAAGGUUAUUGAAUCUUGGUUAAGUUCUGCAACCCCAAUAAUUCAAGGCCUUUCGCAAGAUAUACUGUGGGCUACUACAGAAGCUUACAUGUUUAGUAUGCGAUGAAAAUUGAUUAAUUAAGUUUUGUAUCUCUUUCAUUUAGUUUGCAUAUUUAAAAUAUAAAAAAAAAUUGAUUUCUUGAGUAUUAAUAUUUUUCUUACUCUAUGAUUUUAUUGUUGUAUUAUUAUAAUUUACGUAUAAAAAAUUUAGUUAAGUUGUUUCAAAUUCCUUUUAUUAAUUAUAUAGGAAUAUUAUUUAUUAUUAUAUUAUAAUUUAUUAUUUAUCUAGUUAUUUGUUAUUUAUGUAUAUAAUUAUAUUUUUAACGUCAUUCACUUCUGCCAAGAUAAUAAUAGAACUGAAGAAACUUUACUUUCAUAGCUGUAAAACCAAACAGCUUUGGAAAGAAGUAAUUUUUAUCUAAACUCUACUUUUACCACAGUUCACUUAGGCCCACCCAGGCCUAAAGUCCACUUUCGGUAAAACCAAACAGGCCUAAAACAAAGGGAAACUCAAUUUGAAGGGCGAUGGAUUCCCUCAGGGCCAUUUUGGGAAUAAAAAUGAAAGAUUUUAUAGAUUUCUUUUUCUAAAAAUGUAUGGAUAGUCCCUGCAACGCUCCAAUGUUGAAACUUACUGUCACGCCCCGGAUUCCUCGUUUCCCCGGGUACGCUAACAGACCCACCGUAUACAUAGAAAUUUUUUCUGUAUACGAAGCGAAGCUGUACAAGAACCAGAAAUCAAACACACUACAACCAGUAGUAUAGAGCUGCUAGAAAGGAAUAAAACAUAUAUAAUCACAGUGGUUCAAUACAUACAUAGUAUCCGGGUACAAAAAUACUCGCUCCAGCGAGAUACAACAUCCGUAUGUAAAGAACCAAAAACUACAACUACUUGUAGUUGGUGCUCCUCUAGCUCUGCGACUCGGCUGGAAAGGCUCUAACUCGCAACGCUUUUGCCACGAUCAGUCUCAGUAGUAGCAGCAGCCGGAACAGAAGGCUCUACAAAAGAAGGAUAACAAAUGGGCGUGAGAACUACUGCAAAAACAAGUAGUCCUAAGUGGGUACCGCCCUCAACUCAUCGGUUCACCCACCAAGUCUACAGAUGUAUGCUCAAAAGAUAGUAAGGGAACCGGAAACAAUCUACAGCUACAUGCCACUAUACUAUCAUGAUCCGACACUACUAUCUGUAGAAUAAGACAAGCUCUCACCCAAUCUCACUAGGGACUGUAAACAUACCGUCCCAGGAACUGUGAAUACACCCGUCCCGCCUGUCGAAGCUAUACAGCUACCUCCGCACUAAGCAGUCCAUGGAGAGCAAGUCCAAACAGGACACAACGACACCAACACAAACGCACAAAGUCCGACUCCGGAGUGGCACUCGUGGGCGCUACCCAACCAAGUAUGCAAGCGUAUCUCUGUCGAGCUCAAUCAGGCUCUCACAAGCUAAGAUCCAAGUAAAUAGGGUCCAACUGGUCUAACAACCAACUCACGUGCCCUCGGCAUAAUCUGAUGCAACAACAGCAAUCUAGGUCCACCGUCAACCUCAACGGCACCCGACAGUCCGGAACAGUCUAAACACUGCUGUAAAAAUAAGCUCGGCAUCUCAGCCCGAGCGUAAAUACAUUCUACACUAUUCUGAAUAUCCACCACCCCCAAACUGCGGUGAUACAAACAAACUACGGCUUCUAGAGCUAAAUCUGGUAGUUUUAACAUAUGACAGUGUAGAAACGCUAGUUUUCUCCUAAGUCAAUUCCAAGUCCAAUAUGUAUAAUUUAUCUAACUUACUACAGUAUGCUCCAAAUUUAAAUUUUAUUUAACAUACUAAUCAAUGAAUUCGAGCUAAAAAUAUGAUAUACAAUUGCUGAAAAUAUACAUGUUGACUAUGCGUACACUUAGGAGGAGAAUCCAAUGAUUAACCCACCUUAAGCGCUAAAUCCACGGCAGCGAGGAGUCGCCGGAAUUCCUGUCAGUCUCUGCCACAACCAGCAACCAAACAAAUCCAAGGUCUACACAAAAUCCACCAAAAAUCUAUCAAUACUCUAAAAAUUCAGCACUUAAGCUAAUAUCAUCCAAUUCCAAUGUCAACUUUACCUUCCAAAGCUCAAAUCAGAUGAAGGAAGGUCCCAAAACCAGUGGGCUGUGCUGGAGUAUCAAGCUUUGGUUCACAACCCAGCUCCUUCAAAGAAUUGCUCCAAGAAAAUCACAACAAACUCAUUUUCAGCUCAAACCUCCAGCAGCAGAGAAGAAUGCGAAAAUAACUGAGCUAACCUUAACCAAAUUCUGUUAAUUUAGGCUCCAUGAAUUUUUCUUAAAGUCUAGAAUCCAACAAACCAAGUUUCGUGGUAAAUGGAGCUUCCUACAUCGUACACGAGUCGAAACACCGAAGGUCGCCGCUAGAAAACUGCUAGAACUGCAGCCCUCUAGUUGAAAGUGCACAAAUUGGAGGAAUUGAAGCAAUUUGAGGUGUUAGUAGGGGUGGAACUGGGCCGGGCUUGGAUCGGGUAAUACUAUGCCCAAGCCCGGCCCAAAAAAAAAUGUUGGGCUUCGGGUCGGGCUUUUACCCAAUUUUGUAUAAGGCCUGGCCCAAGCCCAAGCCCAAUGCCCAAUACCCAUCGGGCUUUGUGAAGGCCCAUUUUAUACAUUUAUCAUAUAAUACAUAAAUACUUUUAUUUGUAUAAUAAUAUGUACCAUAUAUUUACUCAUAGAUAUGUAUAAUUAAUUAAUUAUAUAGAAUAAUACUAUUUAUUAUAUCCUAAUAUGAAACUAAAUAUUUUGUUAAUAUAUAAUAUAUCCUCAUAUAUAUAUAUAAGUAUAUACCAUUAAUAACACUAUAUACUAUAUAUGAUAUAAUAUAUAAUUUAUUCUUUUUAUAAAAAAAUAUUAUAUAUAUAUAUAUAUAUAAUUAAAUAUUUUAUUUUAAUAAUUAAUAUAUCGGGCUUUUGGGUCAGGCUCGGGCCGGGCUUGGACAUGCCCAAAUAGGCCCAAAAUUUUUUCGGGCCUAAAUUUUGAAGCCCGGCCCGAACCCAAAGUUAAAUUUUUAAUACCCAAAGCCCGGCCCAAAUAUGGCCCAUCAGGCCGGGCCUUGUUUAGGCCCGGGCCCAGUUCCACCCCUAGGUGUUAGAUACAAUUCUAAACUUCACUGUGAAGAAAGGAUGAAAAGGGUUCACUGGAGGUGUACAUAGCCUAUUUAUAGGGAGGUGAAAAGACAAGAUAAGCCCUAAGAACUCCAAACACAAAACUGCUGCCCCUGCAGAAAUCCCCACUUUCGGGCGCCCAAAACAUACAUCUGUGCGUCCAGAAAUCUCCAGGCUAUACAAAAGCUUCCCAUUGGUUCCUCCGCCGUGGUGUGCUGCGCCCAUAACCGGCUCCGGUGGACCUCACCUACCACCAGCCACGUGUCAGCGCAAACGAUACUCCCGAAGUGAAUUUUCGGACCCACUUCUGGACGCCCGAAACUAGGAUCCGAAUUGGCUUUCAGUUCUGCUCAGUUCUGCACUCAAGUUCUGGGCGAUCGAAACCUUGUUCUGGACGCCCGAAUCUGGCAAAACUCCAGUUUUGCUUAUUUGAGUGCGCCGAGUCCAUUUCUACAUCCAUUUCGUGCAGAAUUAACUCCAACUCAGUCCGACACUCUCCAGAUGUGUCGACCAGUCACUAAUACUGUAGCUAAUUCUAUUCAAACUUCUGGAACACUACACUUACAUAAAAACUAACUCUUGACGUUAACACUUCUGUUCUCAAACAUUUGAAAAUUAUAAUUGUAAUAUUUCUUCUCUAAUUUCCUUUUUUUUUUUGGUAAAUUUAUUAUUUUAUAAGCGUAUAAAAUUACCUUUUGUAUUCUAGACUCGGGUUUUCUUGAAAAUUCAACAAGAAGUAAACAAGAAAAACAAAUUCUGAGAACAAAGGCGUAAUAUCCAUAAUAAUAUCAGACGUCAAGUCUACCUCGCGUGAGUUAAACAUGACAUUUCAAUUGGGCUGAUGCAAAAAAAACCCAAUAGGCAUAAUAGGCCCAGUAGACCAAGUCGUCAGUACUUGGGUUAAAGAGUAUAUCUUUAUAGUGAUUCCAAGGGUAUGUUUGGUUGGCCAAAAGUGAAGCACCGAAAAUAAUAUUUUAAAAAGUGAUCUCAUAUCGAUUGUUUGCGUUGCGAAAAUAAAUAUAAAAGUCACUUUACAAAAGUGGACUAAUUAAGUGAAUUAUAAUUAAAUCUUAUAUUUUUUACUUCGGCUCAAAAAAUGUAAAGUGGACUGAUUAAAUGAAUUAUAAUUAAAUCUUAUAUUUUUUACUUCGGCUCAAAAAAUGUAAAGUGGACUGAUUAAAUGAAUUAUAAUUAAAUCUUAUAUUUUUUACUUCGGCUCAAAAAAUUCGAAAGUCACCAAAAUUACAAAGCUUAACUAAAAUGAUAUAUUUGGUCUUAAAUUUUAAAUUAUGAAUUAAAAUUUGAAGAAAUGUUUUUAAAUUUUAAUUAUAAAUUCAACUCGAUUUAAGUUUAAAUUUAAAUUUUAAGAAUAAAAUUUUAAAUUCCAAAUUUAAAUUUUUAAUUUAAAUUAUGAGUAUAAGUCGUUUGUUUAUAUUUUCACUUUUUUUACUAUAAUUAAAGAAUCAAAAUUAUAAAAUUAUAGUUUUCAUGUUUCACUCUAUAGCUAUCUAAAUAAUCGAAUUGAAAAGAAAAAAAAAAUGAGUUUUUUCAAUUCAGCCACUUUUGGAUAACUAAACGUCGCUCUAAUAACAAUCAAAACAGUAACCUCAGCAGCACCAAAAAGAAAUAUUCCUUACCACUCACAAACGACUGUAAAAACACACCUAUAAAGUUGCACUCAUGGCGCCCCGCAUGCAUUUUCUUUGGACUCGAAAGAGUUGAUUUAGGGGAGAAAAAAAAAAAGAUGGAAGAAACUACCAAAUGCCUUAGAACGGAUUCAUUAUUUACGCGGCCACAGAGGGAUCGAGCACGUGGCCCAUGAAUAACACCGCUUCGGUUGUGUCCUCCCUGAUCAAGAAAAAGAACGGGUGAUCAGCAACGAAGUCCGGAGGAGGACGAGGCGCCCUGCAACAACCCUCAAGCAUCAUGAAAGAAGCGGCGGCUGCUUCGGUUCCUUCCUCAUUAACUUCGAUGAAAGAUUUGUGCAAAAUCAAUGUUCGGGCGAUGGGUGAAUCGGCUAUUUCAGUCAGGCCCCCGUCCCCACAGAAGAGCAAAUGUACUCCCAUCUCUUUUAGAACUCGAGGUGCAUCCAACCCGCAAGAUAUUUUGAAUUUGGGGAUCUUCAACUCUCCCAAUUUGACCUCCCGCUUCGGGAGAUGGCGGUUUAGGAACUCGGGAUCGGAACUCAACUUAUCAAUUAAACUCCAUAGCCCAUCUCGAUCGUCGGGCAAGAAAAUAUACAUGGAAAAUUGUCUCCUAUCAUUCCCUUUUCUAUAUGGAAGCCUUUGUCUCCUAUCAUUCCGUUUUCUAUACGGAAGCCUGAGCACUUUGAAGUCAUCGAAUGAAGACAUGAACUGCAUUUCCGGAUUCGUCAUGAAGGGCACUAGCACAGAAUUUCCGUUGAGCAAGUGGAACUCACCGUCUUCCGUUCCUGAUGCGUCGAAUCUAUCAGCCCAAGCCCCUUUAAAGUAAAUAGCAUUACCGAGCACCACCCUAGUGAAUUGGUUGAUAGCUCUACCGGAAAUCAUACUCUUUGUAAGACCAUUUGUUGCCGAACUAAUCCAUGAGUUAAUUUGAUCAGUAAUUUCAUCAGCCUAAAUUAAUAGGAAAGAAAAAAAAUAUUAAUAAACAAAUACAGCAGCGUUCAGAUUGGCUUAGAAAAAAGGGGGGAAAAACCGAAUCUGCAACACUGGUUUACCUGCCAACAAUUUUACUGAUAAGUAAAAUUAGCAGCAGAAGAAAUAUUUUUGUCUUUUAAAAAAUUAAAUAAGUAUUAUUUAUUGAAGUUGAUUUGCAAAACCGAGACUAACAAAAAAAUCAAUAUAAUUCCAGCUUAAUCAAUACCCAGAAUCCUUAAUUCCUUAUCAUUCCAAAUUCAGGAUAGAUAACUAGAGGGGUGGCAAAAGGAUAAAAAUAAAAAAAAAAAAAAGAAAGAAAGAAAGAAAAAGUUCAGUUACAGAAAGAUUAGUAUGCAUGGACUGAAGUGAGAAUUUAUGGCAAGAUAUAUAACAAAACUGGAAGAGAAACAUAUUCACCACUGUUCAGCUGCCUCAAAUUCAAGAAUACUAAAAACAAAAACUUAGAAUCUUCUUCACAAUAUCAGAGGGGUUUGUUCACUGCGAACUUAAGCUGUUGGAUUGGUCUCUGCGAUUGCGAUUGCGAUUUGAUAUAGCAUCAGAACCAUUUCCAUUUCUAAUCUAGUUUCUUCUGCUUCAAUUUCAACCUAGAUUCAGUUAGAUUCAAUUCGACCUUGUUAGCGGGGGCAUGUUAAAAUAGACACCAUAUAUGGUUCUCACCAUUCCUCUACCUGCCAGACUAAUAAUCUUUUAUGUUGAUCCGAUCCCCCUAAGACAUGCAUAUUCAAGCUAAAACCCCACAGAAACCCUAAUAACUCGAGAAACGAACAACAAAAAGAAAAAGAAAAAGGAAAAGGAAAAAGAAAAAAGGAACAAAAAUCAUAGAGCAUGGAUUCGAACCUUGGUUUGGAAAUCGACGGAUUGGAUCUCCGCCUUGUAAGCGGAGGCGGCGAUCUCCGCGAACGCGGCCUGGAGGGAGAGGGAGGCGUCGACCCACACCCCGUUCGCGAAGGAGACGCGGGGCCCACCGCCGGCGGAGGCGUCGGCUAGGACGCGGCCGACGACGCGGGCGGCGAGGGUGGCGACGUCGUCAGCGGUGGCGCCGGGGCAGAGCACGGCGAGGAGCUCGUCGAGGGCGGGGCCUCGCGUCCCCGCCGCGGCGAGGCUGAGGAGCGCGUGCAGGGAGAGCGGCGAGAACGCGAAGUUGGCGCCCUUCUUCGACUCGGCGGCGGCCACGCGCUGCGCGAGGCGCAGGGCGAACGCGGUUUGGUGGGCGACGAACUCGCUCAGGCUCAUCGCGCGAAUCGCCUUCUUCGGGGCGAAGCGCGUUUCCGGAAGCGGCGGCGGAGGAGGAGAAGAUGCUAAGCGUCUCGUACUCAUCAGCACACGAGGACGGAGGGAGGAGGAAAGAGACGAGACGAAAGAGCGCGACGCGGAGAACCUGCCUCCUUUCAAAGAGAGAGAGAGGGGUCCAAAACACACAAGAAAAAAAAUUAAUGCGCACUCGCGGCUGAUUAUUUUUAGAGCGAAAAUAUAAAGUAGGGGACCGGUAAUUUUGUUGAUCAUUCCCCUGCCGAAAUCACAGCGAUUCUCAUUUUCCAAAUAUCUGCUUCAAAAUUUUUUUCUUUUUUUUCAGAAACAAAUUUAUUUUAAAAUUUGAAAGGAAAAAUUACUAAUUGUACGUAAUACUGAUCUGACGGUUAAUUUGCAUCUCGCCAAGUUGUAUAGUUUCAGCUCUAUCCUUAUUCUGGUGGACAAAACUGGGCGCCCAAGCUUUACCUUUUCUGUUUAUUUCCAGAGCUACGUGCUCAUCUCCACUUUUUUGAAUUUUUUUAUAAAAUAGUUUUUUAAAAUUUUAUUAUUUGUGAAACAAUUCUGUUAAAAUAGUAUUUAAUUACUAUUAAUAUAAUAAUAUAAAAUAAUAAAAAUUAUUAUGUGAUGAUAAAAAAAAAUAUUCUAAUUAAUAUUAUAUUUUUUUUAACAAAUAAAGAAAUAUACUAUCGAUCUUAUUUGUAAUAAUACAUAUUAAAGUACAAAAGUUAGAGAAACAAAAUUAUGGGCCAAAAUAAAUGCUGAGGUAAAGAGCAAAAUUCAACACUGCUCUAUUAUCUAGUUAAUUGGUAUAAUUUGUUAAUUGGUAUAAUUUGAUUUAAUUUGAUUUAAUAGUGUUUCCUAAUAAAAUUGUUAUUCUAUAUUUGAGCAUAAUUAUAAUAAUAGCGUUUAAUAGUGUUCCCUACUAAAAUUCUAGUUAAUUGUAUAUAUAAUUAUAUUUAAUCGGUAUAAUUUGAUUUAAUUUGAUUUAAUAGUAUUUCUUAAUAAAAUUCUUGUUAAUUGUAUAUAUAAUUAUAUUUAAUUGGUAUAAUUUAAUUUAAUUUGAUUUUAUAUUUAAUUGGUGUAAUUUGUUAAUUGGUAUAAUUUGAAUUAAUUUGAUCUAAUAGUGUUUCCUAAUAAAGUUGUUAUUCUAUAUUUGAGUAUAAUUAUAAUAAUAGUGUUUAAUAGUGUUUCCUAAUAAAAUUGAUAUUCUUUUUUUGAGUUUGACACGUGACAAGCAUAUGAAAGACACGUGGCAGUUUUACACAAAGGGUUCUACUUUAGUAUAUAGUAAAUAGAUAGAUUAUAUUUGAAAAACUAAUCUUUUUUUUUGCCGGAGGGAGCAAUUUUUUUAAAAACAGUGAAUGAUUCACCGACUUCAUAAAGACGGUGAAAGAUUCACCGCCUUCCUAAUUUCUCACAAAAAUAGUGAAUCAUUCACCGUCUUUCACUUAUUUACUAUUUCUUUUUAUAUCUCAUAUAUAAUCCUAACAAACACAUAAUAUUUCAACAAAUUAUAUAUAAUUUUAACAAUCUGAAAAUUCUAAUAAUUUAUCCAUACAAUUCUAACAUUCAAAAAAAUCCUACUAAUCUAUCCAUACAAUUUUAAUAAUCAAAUAUCACAUAUAAUCUUAACAACUUUGAAAAUCCUAAUAAUCUAUCCAUCCAAUCCUAAUUAACAAUCAAAAAAAUUUUAAUAAUCUAUCCAUAUAAUGCUAACAAUCAAAGAAUUCUAAUAUUCCACAUACAAUCUUAGCAACCUUACUCUUUUUUUUUCUAUUUCCCGUACUAUAAUAUAUGUAUAAUUUUAACAACCUUAUUUUUUUCUUUUUUCUAAAAAAAUUAUGAAGAAGACGUUUCACCGUUUUAAUGAAUAGGGGUGGUAUUUAAAGUUUUCCCUAAUUUUUUAGGUUGCAGUGGAGGCCUACACAAGUUUAAUUUCUUGUCUCUCCUCUUCUGUGAUUAAUAAGGCGUGGUUGAAGUGAAUUGUGUGUGACGUCCUGCAGUCACGUGAUGAUCUACAAUUACGUUCUACUAGCAAUUAACUCCUGCUAUGCAAGAAUUUAAAUGGGUUAAUUGCAUACAAUUUUUUAUAAACAUAUCGAACAACAGAUAUAUUCAUACAAAUUCAACUUUUAUUUUUAUCUCUAUAAAAGUUCUAAUAUUUUCAAAUAUACCUCUAUUGUUAGAAUCGGUUAGACAAAUACAGUUAAUCAUAAGUAAAAUAUUUAUCUCUGAUUAGUGAAUAAGGUAAGUUGACUUUUUUACCCUCUUAUAUUAUUUCUGACAGUAGAAAGGAAGAAGAUAACUGUUGAAGUUUUUGGAAUGAUAUUUUUGCAUAAUUCUAAUAAUUAGGACUUUUGGAGGGACAUAUUUGUAAUGGUAAAGUUAUCAUUUCACUUAUUUUUUGUUAAAAAAUAAAUAUUUUUUUAACGAUAACAAACCAGAGUUGUAAAUAUGAAUAUCACUAAAUUUUUUUUGAUUAAACAGGGGUAUACCCUAUUAAUAUCACUAAAUUUUUGUACGAAUAAAUAUGAUAAGUUGAAAUUUAUAGAGAUAUAUUUGCUAUUCGAAAUGUUUAUAUAGAGCUUUAUUUAUUUACUUUAGAUAGAUUUAUAUAUGGACAAGAAUUUAGUAAGAUCAAUGAUAGACAAAAUCACAUAAAAAGGUUAAAAAAAAGGAAAGAAAAGAUAUAUUUAUAUUGUGGAACUGAAAAAACAAAUUAUACGCUUUUCACAAUAUUUUUUGGGGCAAUUUCACCAUUAGCUCUUUCACAUAUGUAAAUAUCGUAAAUACUCCUGCAAAGUUAAAAAUAUCAUAUAUAUACCCCUUCAAAUGCAAAAAAAUUAUCAUAAUUAGGUGAAGCCAUUUUGAAAUAGAUCCCUUUAACUUUAAUUUUUUAACAUUAAGAGCCCUUGAAGUUUUAGUUUUUUUUCAUUUGGGCUUUACUUGGUUAAAAGUUUUUUAAUUAAGAUCCCUCACACAUGAAUUUGAUACAAUUUUAAAUUUAGUUGGAAAAAAACACUCAUUUUUUAAAUUUUUCUACCGUUAGUUCAACCCUUUUGACCAUUUUCAACUGUCAGUUUGAUACACUUCCACUAUCCCAAAAGAAAGCUCCAGAGUUAAAAUGUCAAAUGGAUUAGUGGAACCGGCUAAGCAUAGUAAUUGAGCCACUAAAUAAAACCGCCCUUGAGGUCAUUGGAGUCAGAUGAAGCAGAAUCAUCUCAACCACCUAUUUGUAUAACUACCUUAACUGCCAAGUGUCCACAAUGUUAUUCUUGUACAAUUCCUAUAAAGGGGAUGAGAUAUAAUAACUGAUUUCAUAGCAUAUAAACAAAUUAAUUAUCUUCUCGUCUUCUCUCUUUCUCUCUUUCUCUCUCCCUCUCCCUCUCCCUCUCUCUCUCCCUCUCUCUUUCUCCCUCUCUCUAUCUUUCUUUCUUUGCUUUCCUCCGUUCUAUAUUCCUGCCAUGGUCAAAGCUUCACGAUCUUGAUUAGGAGCUCUUGUUGAGACCCAAAUCACAAGAGUAUCAAUUGGUAUAAGAGCAACGGUCCUUGGUAGUAGGGCUCGCCAUGGAAACCCGAGGCCAGGAGAUAAAGAAGGUGGAGGAGACGCUGCGACAGGUGACCAAGGAUACAUUACUGUGUCAGGAGCAAUCAAUCUAGGAAUUGAAGGAUCGGCAAACCCGAGAUAUAGAAGAAGUUCGCAAGAUGUUCGCUGAAUUGCACGCAUCCAUCACCCCUGGAAAUGGUCAAGGUCCCGCACCGAUAGCGCAAUCUGAAGGUUACUCUCUUAACAAACCUCAAUUUACUUCUAGGUUUACUAAGUUUGAGUUUCCACGAUUUGAUGGGGAGAAUCUCAAGGGGUGGCUAUAUCAUUGUGAACAAAUCUUUGAAAUUGAUGGAACUUGUGAGGAAUCUAAGGUUAGAUUAGCUUCCAUACACUUAGAGGGUAAGGCUCUUCAAUGGCAUCAAAUCUAUAUGAAAUAUCGGCUCACACGCUCACAUCCAAUCUGUGAGGAGUAUGUAUUAGUUCUCAACACUCGGUUUGGCGGAUCUAUAUGACGACCCUAUGGCUGAACUUAAAUCUCUCAAGCAGAUGGGCUCGGUAAUGGAAUACCAAGAUAAGUUUGACGUCUUACUCAACCGAGUAGAAUUACCUGAAGAAUAUGCAGUGAGUUGUUUUCUUAGCGGGUUAAAAGAUGAAAUUCAGAUUCCGGUGAGAAUGUUUCAGCCUCUCACGUUACAAAAGGUGCUCAGUUUAGUGAAGUUGCAGGAAUUGGCCGUGGAAGGUCACAAUAAAACCCCCAAGGGUGGAAUGACCAGCAGGGAGCAAUACAAUUGUCUCUUCUGUGACUCCCAAAACCAUUAGUACCUCCAAUUAUGCCCAGAUUCCCAGAACGUAAAGAAAUCCUAACCAGCAAGGAGUAUUAGGGCCGGCCCAUCCAUAACAAGGCCUGUAAGGAACAUCUUUAACAUAGAAUUUGACGAGAGACGGGUGAAGGGGUUGUGCUUUUGGUGUGAAGAGAAGUACGUCCCGGGCCAUCAGUGCAAGAAGAAGCAACUCUAUAGAAUUGAAUUGGUAGAGGAAGAUCUUCUCGAGGAGCUGAACAGAUUUGAAACACCUCUCAUGGUAAAUGAAGCGAGAAUCGAAGUCCUGAGCCCAUCAGCACAAAUUUCCCUUCUUGCAUUAAUAGGCCAAGGCCAAUUACCGGAUAUUAGGACAAUGAGACUCUCAGGAACAGUAAGAAAUAGAAGGAUUAACAUCCUCAUUGACUCAGGAAGUACUCAUAACUUUCUUGACGCAGCAAUAGCCGCUAAACUAGCUAGGGUGCCGAACCGAAGUGGUACAGCCUAUGAGAGUCACGGUAGCUGAUGGCAAUAGUUUAACUUGUUCUGCCAUCUACAAGGCUUUCCAAUGGAAGAUGCAGGGUACAACCUUUGAUACUGAUUUACUACUGUUACCACUAAGGCGCUGUAAUAUGGUGUUAGGCAUCCAAUGGCUUAUACACUUAGGCCCAAUUUUGUGGGAUUUCAAACAUCUCCGAAUGGAAUUCCAGUUCAAGGAGCGGCAGGUAGUGCUAAAGGGAUCCCCAGAAGCAAAUUUAAAGAUGAUAGAAGGGAAGGAGCUUCAGAAAAUGAUAUUGGAUGGUGCAGUUUGUUCGGCAAUUCACUUUUGCUCUAUACAUAUGAGUAUGCCAGAAGCAGUGCAGGGGUACUUAGGCGAAACAGAAUCACAUAACUGGAAGCAGAUAAGUGAACCCUUUGCUGAGAAGAUACAACAGCUGUUGACAAGGUAUUCAACAUUAUUCAAAGAGCCCCAGGGACUCCCUCCUACCCGGCCAUACGAUCAUAGGAUUCCCUUGAAAGAAGGCACCAAUCCAAUUAAUGUCAGGCCGUAUAGAUACCCGACAUACUAGAAAACAAAGAUCGAAAAGUUAGUACGAGAAAUGUUGUCGCAAGGGAGUAAUCAGGCCUAGCAGCAGCCCUUACUCCUCCCCGGUGGUGCUAGUUAAAAAAAAAGACGGGUCGUGGAGAAUGUGCAUCGAUUAUAGAGCACUAAACAGCAAUAUCGUCAAGGAUAAAUUCCCCAUACCCUUGGUAGAAGAACUACUAGACAAGCUAUAUGGCACUGUACUCUUCACCAAACUAGACUUAAGGUCGGGUUAUCACCAAAUCAGAAUGCAAGAGGCGGACAUCUACAAGACGGCUUUCCGAACCCAUGAAGGCCACUACGAGUUCUUAGUGGUGCCAUUUGGUCUCACAAACGCCCCGUCCACAUUCCAAGAGUUAAUGAACUAGAUUUUUAAGCCUUAUUUGUGAAAAUUUAUUCUAGUUUUCUUCAACGAUAUUUUAGUCUACAGCAAAGGGGCGGAUGAGCAUCUACAACACCUUCAAAUUACCCUUAAUGUCCUGAAGCAGCACUCUCUAUACCUCAAAAGGAGGAAAUGCACAUUUGCUGCCACCCAACUGGAGUAUUUAGGACACAUCAUCAGCAAAGAAAGGGUUGCCAUGGACGAGGAAAAGGUAGAGACUAUCCUGCGAUGGCCGCUGCCUUCUACAGUGAAAGAAUUGAGGGGCUUCUUAGGGUUGGCAGAUUACUACUGACGCUUUGUUAAGGAUUUUGGAAAAAUCAGCAAACCCUUGCAUGAGAUGCUAGGAAAGGAUGGGUUUCAAUGGAGUGAAGCAGGAUGUCAGGCUUUUAAUCAGCUGAAAACAGCCGUCGCUACUGCCCCAGUGUUGGCACUACCCGAUUUCUCUACGGAGUUUACCAUCGAAACAGAUGCUUCAGGGAUUGGAGUUGGCGCAAUCCUAUUACAAAAGGGUAGACCAAUAGCCUUCAUGAGUAAACCAUUAUCAAUUAGAAAUAGACAACUCUCAGCUUAUGAAAGAGAAAUGUUAGCAAUAGUGAUCGCCGUGCAGAAAUGGAGACCCUAUUUGGUCGAAAGACACUUCAAGAUCAAAACUGAUCACCAAAGUCUAAAAUACUUAAUGGAACAAAGAAUUUCCACCCCUAGUCAACAAAAAUGGGUCUCUAAGCUGAUGGGUUAUGACUAUGAAUUAGUGUACAAGAAGAGGCAGGAGAACACAGUAGCGGAUGCAUUAUCUAGACACCCUAUGCUGUCAGCAAUUUCAGUUAUUCACACAGAUCUUUUAGAUCAAGAGGCGUAGCUAGGCGUCGGAUGAUAAACUAAAGACACUUAUCCAACAAAAACUACAAGACUAUAGCUCUUGGCCACACUAUAGUUGGUCCCAGGAUCAACUCAAGAGGAAAGAAAAAUUAGUAGUUGGUGUUGACCCAAGGCUGAAGUUGCAACUCAUCACAGAAUUUCACUAAAGUGGACUAGGAGGUCACUCAGGAGCUGAAGUAAAAUACGAAGAUGUUAAAAAGUUACUUCUACUGGAAGGGCCUAAAAAGAGAUGUUACCAAGUUUAUAAGGGAAUGUACAGUUUGUCAACAAAAUAAAUAUGAAACAUCGGCACCAGCAGGCUUACUGCAGCCUCUACCAAUACCUGAAGGAAUUUGGAUGGAAGUCUCUAUGGAUUUUAUCGAAGGGUUGCCAUUAUCACAUGGAAAGGAUGUCAUUAUAUUGGUAGUUGACAGAUUGAGUAACUACGCGCAUUUCAUGGCACUUUCUCACCCUUACACUGCUUCUUCAGUGGCUCAAAUGUUUUUAGACAAUAUAUACAAACUGCAUGGGCUGCCGAAAAGCAUAGUAAGCGAUAGAGAUGCCAUAUUUGUUAGUCGAUUUUGGCAAGAGCUGUUCAAGGGACUUCACGUAAAAACUAACCUCUUUACAGCAUAUCAUCCACAAACUGAUGGCCAAACUGAGGUAGUUAAUAGAUGUAUUGAGAAUUAUCUACGAUGUAUGACAGGGGAUAAACAUAAGGAGUGGUCGAAGUGGUUGUCUCUUGCGGAAUGGUGGUAUGAUACCUCUUUUCACUCUUCAACCAAGACAACGCCAUACGAGGUGGUGUAUGGACAGGUACCACCAUUGCAUGUUCCUUAUUUGGCCGGUGAGUCAUCAGUAGACAUGAUGGAUCGGACAUUGACUGCCAGAGAGAUCACCCUGCAGCAGAUCAAAGAAAAUUUAGCUAAUGCUCAAAAUAGGAUGCGACAAAUGGCAAAUAAAGGAAGGUCGGAGCGGAAACUGCAAGUAGGGGAUUGGGUUUAUGUCAAAUUACAGCCGUAUAAGCAACAAUCACUUCGGAAGCAUGCACACCUCACAAAAGCUAUACCCAAGAUACUUUGGUCCAUUUGAAUUAACUGCCGCAGUAGGACCUGUCGCAUAUAAGCUUCGACUGCCCGAUUCUGCCAAAAUUCAUAGCACCUUCCAUGUAUCUCAACUUAAGAAGAAGAUAGGAUCUUCACUAGCUUCGCCUUAUAUUCCAUCAUUUAUUAAUUCCGACGGCCAAGUAUUGGUCGAGCCGAUAGCAUUAUUGGAUAGGUGUCUUGUUAAGCAUUGUGGGAGAGCUACUACACAAGUUUUAAUCCAAUGGUUGAAUCAACCAAGAGAGCAUGCUACCUGGGAGUAUCUUUUCGAUAUCCAGAACCAAUACCCUCAAUUUGAUCCUUGGGGACAAGGAUCUUCUGAAGAGGGGGGCACUAAUACACUUCCACUGCCCCAAAGUAAGCUCCAGAGUUAAAAUGUCAAAUGGAUUAGUGGAACCGGCUAAGCAUAGUAAUCGAGCCACUAAAUAAAACCACCCUUGAGGUCACUGGAGUCAAAUGAAGCAGGAUCAUCUCAACCACCCAAUUGUAUAACUGCCUUAACUGCCAAGUGUCCACAAUGUUAUUCUUGUACAAUUGCUAUAAAGGGGAUAAGAUGUAAUAACUGAUUUCAUAGCAUAUAGACAAAUUAAUUCUCUUCUCGUCUUCUCUCUCUCUCUCUCUCUCUCUCUCUCUCUCUUUGCUUUUCUCUGUUCUAUAUUCCUGCCAUGGUCAGAGCUUCAAGAUCCUGAUUAGGAGCUUUUGUUAAGACCCAAAUUUAAAUCACAAGAGUAUCACAGAUCAUACUAUUUAAUCAACCACUCACUCAACCCUAGGGGACCACUAUCAUUCUAACAAUACAUCGCUUCAUCCAACUCCAAGUGCCAAAAACUUAAUAACACCAAUUUUCAAAUCUAAUCAAAAUGGCACUAUUAAAAGAGGUUUAGAAUUAACGAUAUUAUCAUGUCAUCGCCUAUUUAGCUUUCUUUAGGAUAUUAAUUUUUGUCUCUAAACUUUAUUUUUCACUUUAGUCCCCAAAAGUAAAAAUUUAAAAUUUUGAAUUUAAAUCUGGAAUUAAUCUUAAAAUUAAUUUGAAAACUUAUGAAUACAAAGGGAUCUAUACUCAUAAGAGUAUAAUAGCUGAACUCUCUCUCUCUCUCUCUCUCUCUCUCUCUCUCUCUCUCUGUGUGUGUGUGUGUGUGUGUGUGUGUGUGUGUGUGUCUCUCUCUCUCUCUCUCUCUCUCUACCUAAAGUUUAGGCCAAAAUUUGAAAUUGUUAAAAAAAAGAAGAAGAAAGCUCUUCUUUUCAAGGCCCAGUUAAUGGGACUCAUCAAGCCCUAAAGGCCAUCAUCAAGAAUCACUGACAUUUAUAUAUUAACUAAUGUGUUUGUUAAUCAAACUCAUUAACUACAUACUUCAAAUUUGCAUAGCUAUUUCUUUAUGUUAUUAUAUACAUUAAAUAUAAAUUAUGGACAAGAAAUCAUGCAGUUACAUACAUACAUACAUACAAACAUACNUAUAUAUAUAUAUAUAUAUAUAUAUAUAUAUUGAUUUUAAUUAUAAUAAUUUACUGUAAUAAUACCUUUCCGCCGCAUCGCACAAGUCCUUAACUAGUUAGAUUAAAGUACGAGUUAUAUGCCAGUUUCAUCGAGUAUGGAUGUGGUAUUAGCCCGAGGCUCUCGAUACCAAUGGCGGUAUUAGAUUGGGUAUUUACAUGUAUUUGAUUAUAUCAUUACAGUUGCUGCAUGAUACCAAAUUUGAGUAGCUUAAUAGAUCCAUAUGUUGCUAGUAUUUAAGAUUCUAGUUUUUUUAAUUUUCUUCCACAUUUUUACCCACUAGUAAGGUUGGCAAUUAAAUUUGUUGUUUGUAAACCAACUCGUGUUCAGUUUAUUAAUAAGCCAAACACAAGUUAGAUUUUCUAGCCUGAUAUUUUGACGAGUAAGCUCAUGUUUGGUUCGUUUAUUAAACGAGUCAAAUAUGUGCUUGGCCAUAGCUUGCUUGUGUUCAGCUCGUUAACAGCCCUAUUUACAAGAGAAUUUUUUUUGUAUUUUAGUCUCACUUCUUUUUUAGAAAGAAAGAUAGUUUGCGACACAUUUUAUUUAUUUUGUUUAGUAAUAAACCUAACUAGAAAUAUGAAUUUUCAUUUUAGAAGUACUUUGUCAUGCAUAGAAAUAAGACCUUCUGAUAUUUAUAUAUACACUUCAGAGUGUCAAGUAAUUCAAGUACAUUAAUUCUUUUACCUAAUAAAGUAAAACUAGUGUAGUUACCCGUGCGAUGCGGCGGAGAGGCAUUAUCGAACAAAUUAUUUCUUCUAUCAACAGUAAUAGUUUGGAGAAAUAAACAUGAAAUAUAUAGUUCAUGUACUAUGAAAUGAAAAAUAUUAGUUUAAAUAGUCCGCAAAAAAUGGUGAAAAACUACUAAAGAUGAUUGAGAGCUAGAGCAGGUAGGCAUGUCCUUAUUUAAGUUGGUAUUAUUCAUGCACUAUCAAGCAUCAAAUAAAUUAAAAACAUCUGGUUCGUUAAGUACAAUAAAUAUGAAAUUUAUAAAUUCACUUUGAUCUUUCCUCAAUUCACAAAAGCUGAUACAUGUUGCUCUAUUCGCCAACCAGCACAUUCUCCGACCGAACGAUCCGACCGAACCAAGGAGGGGCUGUUGCUGCUGUUGCUUUCUGACAAAGAAACCAAGACCUCUCCAAGGCCCACCUAUCAACGAAUGCGAGUCCUCCAUAAUGCUACAUGACACAGUAAGGCCAAGUAGUGUAGAGAUUGAAAGAGAAAAUGAUAUAACAUUACCAUCGGUCUUAAACGCAUCGACAUUCUCCUUUUGGCUAUAAAAUUUCAGAUGACAGCUGCAUUCUCUUAGAAUAUUAGAAAAAUCAACAUAGAUUUCAUUAGAGGACUCCUUUCUCGAUUGGAUUUAUAAUGCUAGAGUUCUAAUACCUCAAAAUUGGUUCGCAACCUACAUAACUCUUUUAUAACUUUGAAUAGUCGCAUUUCAUUACUUAGUCUUCUUCUCCAUAGCAUCAAAGAUAUUUCAGUGGUAUUUAUGCUCACCAAAUAACUGCACUGCAGCUAGUUCUUAACGCUGCAUUCUAGCAGCAUCACAGAAUACCAUCAAUUUUGCAGUUGAAAUCAAUGAAAUAGAUGAAUAAGUUCAACAACAACUAAAAAAAUGACCAAAUCAUGACAAUGAAAUAGUUAAAACAACGUUAAAAAAUAACUAGAUGAGCUGCCAAUGUACUAACCAGGAAAGACCAACAUCAUUGGACUAAUAUUAUUUUCAUGGGCCUCUCCAAUUCUCUCUAUCACAACACCUGUAGGCAAUAAAGGCACUAAUUAGUAAAUGAUUAUUUUGUAGUAAGGUUAUCAAAGCAGUAGAUAAGUUUAUUAAGACAUCAUUGCCAAGUGAGAAUUAAUGAAGCAUCUAAUAUUUCUUCCAGUAAUAUCGUAUUACACGAAUAAACUCAUGAUGGUCGAAAUCUUGAUAAGCACAAAAGAAUGCAAAUUCACCUGAAAGAUUCUACAAUUUUUUGAAAUGCAAAUUUAUCUGAAACACUUUUGAACCAGCACUUGAUUGUUACUCGGCUGACUCUUAUUCUAAAAGUGAAAGGCAUAAAGACCUGCAAAUUAGUCAAUGAUUUCAGAAGCAAACUCAGCUAAAUUUUUUUUUUACUUUGGAUACUAUAUGAAAAGCUUCAUAUCAUCAGAGUUGAAUUAUAUAAAAAAAAAAAAGGAAAAAAAUUAAUUCUCUUAGGAGCACCACAGCUAAAAUAAAGCAAUAGAAAAUUGUAGCAAGGAAAAUAUCUAGGGACAUUGAUCAGCUUUAGACAAUAAAACAGGUCAUUAAAUUCUAGGAUUUUAUAUUUGAACCUCAACUGAAACUCCAUCUGAUUUAGUGAGAAUUUGAAAAUUAAGUUUUUGUUAUGAAAAAUACAGAAUAUUUUGAUACUUAACAAAAUAUUAUGUUACUUUUCCUUCUAAACCUUCGAUUUCAAACAAAUUACAACUAAGAAUCAAAACAAAUUAGCAAGUUAGCAAUCUCACACAGCAUGAGAAGGGAAGCUCUUCGUAAUGAUCGACACCAUCGACUCCUCCGCUUCCUGAUCCGCAAUAGUCACAGGACCUACAAAUUCAAUCCACCUCACACCAUGUCUCCUAUUUUUUUAAGAAAAUAAAUAUUAUUCUAAUAGUUAGAGAGGAGGUGGGCCUCACUUUUUAAGUAUUAUUCUGAAUAAUUACAGAGAAGAUGGGUCCCCUUUUUUUCCUUGAAAUAAGGGGAGCGCUUGAAUCCCACGGAAAUUCAUAGAAUGUUAUAGAUGUGGAGAUCUCAUAUACUUGGGAAUGAGUGAAGCCACUAUAUUUGGUGAUUGAAUUUUAUAUGCGGUUAAAGUACGGCAGUGCUAUUAUUAGACAAUGAUCCAAAAUCUAGCUAGUUGAAAUAUAGCAGACAUCUAGUUAGAUGUUAGGCAGUCAGACCCUUGGAGAGUCCAGAAGGCCUAUAAGGUUCCCUAUUUACCAAAACAAAAGGUAAUGCUACCUUUGCAGUAUGCAUCUUACAUACUACCGAUCCUGAUGCAGGACGGGUCAAACCUAUCCUACAUGUAAAACUCCUUAGACGUGGUAGACAAAAAAUUUGCUAAGAUAAAAUUAAACGAGCAAAAAUAUUUUUUUUUUUUUCUUCUUCUUUUUUUUUUUUUUUUGUUAAAGAUAUGAACAGCUUCAAAAGAAACAUUAAUUCAAGUGAACAAUAGUUUGAUCAGAUAGGCGAUUGUUACCAUACAAUCCAGGCGAAUGCAUGAUUAAACUAUUACGAUUAGUCCAGAUCAUCCACAAUCUAUUUGCAACAUCCUCCUAAUCAUGCUUGUAAAUACGCGUAAUCGAAUUUUCGCUCACAAAAAUAAUCAAGUAUCUUGCCAGAUCAAAAGACUAAAAUUUUCUGAAAUUUAGAUAAUAUAAAAAAACAAGUCUACGAAUUUUCCCGAGAGAAAAAAAAAGAAAUCAAAACAUGAUAUAGACCAAGCUCUUUUAUUACAACAGAUAAUAAUAUGUAGAGGAAGGUAUAGAAGAAAUACUAGUUUGGAUAUAAGCCGGGUUCAUCCAAUAUUAUGCGGCUGCUGUUGUUUAAAACCUGCCAGGAACUGUGAGACGUGCAGGAAAUAAAGUCACCUCGGGAGAAGUCCCCAAGGAGCUUCGUCUCCAACUUCGUCUUCUCCUGCUGCUUGCCCCCAAGCUUUCUUUCAAUUAACAACUCCUCUUUUCUCUAAUUUCUUAACCAAAUCUCACAAAUAGGUAGUCAAAAUUUGCAGAAAAUUAAGAGGACUUAAGAACCAACAAAAUAUUAAAACUCUGGACCUCGCCAGAACCGGAAACCCUCCGGGAAAAAAAAUCUCUCUCAAAAAACCUUUGCAAAAAAAGUUCCAAAUUAUAUUCAAUAAUCAUCGUCCUCUUCAUAAAACCUUGUAGGUUAUUUAUAUCCUAAUUACAUCCGAGAAUAACCGAAAAAAAUCUCAACUAGAGAUUUAUCUAAAAGAAAAAUAACCGAAAAAUCUUAACCGAAAAAAUCUUAACUAAAGAUUUAUCUAAAAGGAACAAAUAUUCCUAACAAGAAAAUCUUAAAAUAACAGAGUAAAUCAAAAAUAAUCUUCAGAUCCAUAUAGCGGGUUCGGGCGCCAACUUGCGUCGCCUUCGUUGAUAGACCUGAAAUUCGGGUGAUGAGACGGGUCGGGUUCGGUUUGCAUCAUCUCUCCCCGGCUUGGAAAAAUCCGACUCUGACGGAUUAUGGCUGAUGUAGUCCUCAUAGAGAUCUGGAGCAAUGUCUCUAAGCUCGUGUUCCGGUAUCCAUGUCACUUCUUCAUCUGGUCGGGAUGCCCACUUCACCAUAAAGCUACGCGAAUCACCUGAUCGUGUAAUAACAACUCGGUCGUCGAGAACCUGUUCGAUUUCUUCUUUCUUUCUCGGUAUGGGUAGGGAUGGAAGUGGAGGAAGAGGUUGACGUGGAGAUAUAUUUGUGGAGAUGGGAUUCUCAAUGGAAAGAGGCUCAUGGUAGUGGCUCAGAUCCUCGAUAUUGACCGUUGAGUGAAAACCGAUAUUAGCCGGCAAAUCCAAGACAUAAGCAUUUGGAUUUAGUUGUUUCAAGAUUUUGAAUGGACCCAAAUUUCUCGCAUGUAGCUUUUUCACGGUACCGCUGCGAAAUCGUUCUGGCCGAACCCUUACCAUAACCAUAUCUCCUUCUUUAAAACUUCCUUCACGCCGACGUUCAUUUGCUUUAUUUGCAUAAAUCUCAGUUUUUAAAACAAUUGCUCGUCUUAUUUUAUCAUGCAAUUCUUUUAUAUGUUGAACAAAGGCUUCAGCAUGUUGGCUUGACCUAUAGUCUACAGGUAACGGAAUUAGGUCAAUGGGUGUCCUAGGGUUGUAACCAGUGACAAUCUCAAACGGACUCAUUCCAGUGGUGCGAUUAACUGAAUUAUUAUAGGCAAAUUCGGCCAUAGGUAAAACGCUAUCCCAGUUCCUAGUGUGAUCACCCACUAGACAACGUAAUAAAUCUCCUAGGCUUCGAUUAACAACCUCAGUUUGGCCAUCUGUUUGUGGGUGAUAUGGUGAAGAAAAUUGUAAUUUAGUGUUCAUUAAUUUCCACAUUGUCUUCCAAAAAUAACUCACAAACCGCACAUCUCUAUCACUCACAAUAGUCUUUGGUAGUCCAUGCAAUUUUAUGACGUGAUCAACAAAAAGCUUCGCUACAUGGGUGGCGUCAGAAGUCUUCCUACAUGGUAUAAAAUGUGCCAUUUUUGAAAAUCUAUCAACCACAACUAAAAUCGAAUCGUGACCUCGAAUGGUUUUAGGAAGUCCUAGAACAAAGUCCAUGCUAAGAUCUUGCCAGGGGGCGUGAGGUAUAGGUAAAGGUGUAUAUAAUCCAAUAUUUUUUCGCUUUCCUUUACCGGUCUGACAUAUACCACACUGGGCAACAACACGUGCAACAUCUCGUUUAAGACUUGGCCAAAAGAAACGAUCCUCUACCAAAAUAAUGGUCUUAUCCCUACCAAAAUGCCCUGCUAAACCUCCAGAAUGCAAUUCCCAAAUCAUGAAAUCUCUCAAUGAACCUUGGGGAACACACAAACGUCUACCCUUAAAUAAAUAUCCAUCAUGAAUAACAAAAUCAGGGUUAUCAUGCAAUCCAUCAAGAAUAUUCUUAUAAGUCUCACCAAAAUCUGGACACGUGGGAUAUUCGUCUUUAACUCGAUCAAACCCUAUGACUUGUGUUCCUACAGCAUGCAAAGUCAUGAUAACACGACUAAGAGCAUCGGCAGCUCUGUUUUCGAUACCAGCAACAUGCUUAAGAACAUAGGUAUAUUCCUCAAGAAACGCAACCCACUUGGCAUGCCGUGAAUUUAAUUUCUUUUGCGACUUAAGAUAGCUAAGGGCUUGAUGGUCCGAAAGUAAAACAAACUCCUUAGGUAAUAAAUAAUGUCGCCAAUAUCGUAGGGCUUGCACAAUUGCAUACAAUUCCUUGUCGUACGUGGAGUAUUUCAUCUUUGCCUCAUUCAAUUUUUCGCUAAAAUAAGCAAUUGGAUGACCUUCUUGACUCAAGAUUCCACCUAUUCCUACUCCAGAUGCAUCGCACGAAACCUCAAAGAUCUUCUCAAAAUCAGGUAAUCUCAAAACAGGUGGAUUAGCCAUUCGUUCCUUAAUUUCAUUAAAUGCCUUACUCGCAGCCUUGGUCCAUGUGAAUUCUCCCUUUUUCAUGCAAUUUGUAAUUGGAGCCAUAAUGGUACUAAAACCUCUAAUGAAUCUUCGGUAGAACGUCGCUAACCCAUGAAAACUUCUAACAUCAUGAAUAUUCUGCGGUUGGGGCCACUGUUGGAUUGCUUUGACCUUAUCGGGAUCAGCUGACACUCCAUUUACAGAUACUACGAAGCCUAAGAAAACAACCUUAGGUUGCAUGAAAACACAUUUUUUGGUAUUGAUGUAAAGCUUUUCUCUCCUAAGAGUGUCUAAAACUUGCCUAAGGUGACUUAGGUGUUCAUCUUCGGUCUUACUAUAAAUCAGAAUAUCGUCGAAAUAGACUACAAGAAAUUUUCCUAUGAAAGGUCGAAGCACUUGAUUCAUGACUCGCAUGAAUGUACUUGGGGCAUUCGUCAAUCCGAAUGGCAUGACCAACCACUCGUACAAACCUUCCUUCGUUUUAAAGGCAGUUUUUCACUCAUCUCCUUGUCUAAUUCUUAUUUGAUGAUACCCACUUCUAAGAUCAAUUUUUGUAAAGAUUAUGGAUCCAGCCAUCAUAUCAAGCAUAUCAUCCAAUCGAGGAAUCGGAAAUCUAUACUUAAUAGUGAUCUUGUUGAUGGCUCGACUAUCGAUGCACAUUCGCCAAGUUCCAUCCUUCUUAGGAGUAAGGAGUGCCGGGACUGCACAAGGACUCAUACUUUCUCUAAUGAAACCUUUUCUAACCAAGUCCUCUACUUGACGUUUCAAUUCACCAUGCUCCUUAGGGUUCAUCCUAUAAUGUGGCAGGUUUGGCAAUGAUGAUCCAGGCACUAAAUCUAUCGCAUGUUGAAUAUCCCUCAUGGGUGGCAGCUCAUCAGGCAACUCGUCUGGGGUCAAAUCAGAAUAGUCAGAUAAUAGGUUUCGAAGGUUCAAUGGUAGAUCAGGUUCAAGGGAAGGCUUCUCUAUCUCUCGAACAAUUAAUGCGUAAACAACGGCAGAACUAGCCUCCCUACAAAAUUGCUUCUUGUUCAAGAAAUGAAGCGGUCUAGUUUGCUCUACCAACCUAUUUUCCUUGGAUGUGGUUGGUUCAUUACGUGCAUUAGAUUGGCUAGUCGCAUACUGAAUCGGCUUAGGUCGGUGAGGUCUUAGUACGAUCUUUUUCUUAUCAUGAGUGAAGGUGUAUGUGUUUUGACGACCAUAAUGUGUAACAUCAUGAUCGUACAACCAUGGUCGUCCCAAAAGAAUGUGUCCGACAUCCAUCGGGAGGACAUCACACCAUACUUGAUCCCUAUAUGUAGCAAAGUUGAGAGGGACCAAACAUCGCUCAGUGACAGGUAUCGUAGUCUUAUCUACCCAAGCAACUCUAAAGGGAUUUGGAUGUGGUUCAGGGGUCAACUUCAUUCGGUCAAGGGCUGUUUUGGCUAUCACGUUCAUGCAACUGCCGCCAUCAAUAACGACCUUGCAUACCUUAUCCCCGCACUUGGUAUAAGUGUGGAAGAUAGCGGUGCGUCGCCAGUCACCCUCAUCCUCCCUCGUGGUAAGAACACAACGGACGACUUGUAGUGGAAUGGUGUCGUCUAGGUCAUCUACGUGCGUGCUCUCAUCCUCGUCACUUGGAUACUCCUCAGUCUCAUGCACUACUUCCUCGAAAUCAUCUUCAUCGUUUUUCAUCAUCAAGUUACGCUUUUGUGGACACUUAUUCGAGUAAUGGCCCAUUCCUUCACAGUUAAAACACUUCACUCGAGAAAGGUCUGGUUUAGUUCCUUCAACUAAAGAUUUUCCCCUAGAAUCUCGAUUAGGUUGAUUGAAGGGUACGAUUGACUUACCAGUGUUUUGGUUUCUAUCGGUCCACUUCUUAGUACUUGACUCCCCGGCUUGGUAACCGAAACGCCUAGUAGGAGGUUUAAGAUAACGCUCAUAUUCGAGUGCAAGUUGGAAUGCAUCCUCUACCGUGUUUACUCGAUGGGGUGUAAUCUCUUUCUGGAUUUCCUCACGUAAUCCUCUCCUAAAUCGGGCCAACGUCACAUCCUCUUCUUCCUGGACAUUACACCUAACAGAAAUCUCAUCAAACUUUUGCAUGUAAUCAGCCACGGACAUUGAACCUUGACGUAAGGACAACAUUUGCUCUAUCUGAAGCUGCCUAUGGGUUGAGGGCAAUAUUUUUCACUUAAUUUGGCCUUCAUCUCAUCCCACAACGUGAUCGGUGCUUGCCUAGACCUAGCCAAUUGUCGCUCAACACUCACCCAAUAUUGUUUGGCUGCCCCCACAAGUUUCAUUUUGGUAAAACGAACGCGACGGUCAUCGGACAUAUCGUACCAAUCAAAAAAUUGGUCCAUAUCAGUCAGCCAAUCAGUGAAAGUCUUAGGAUCAAAUCUACCAUCAAAAGUUGGGGCUUCAAUUUUGAUCUUUUUGGUAAUGUCGUCACCUAAUGGGAAAUUAUGUCUAGGGAGGUCCGGAUGGUUUUCAUGGCGUUGGGCUCUGAGGGCUGUUCUAUCAGGAGUCACAGUCACAUUUCCUACUACAGUCCGACUAGUCUCAAGGAUGGCCACACGAUCCCCUAUGUCAUCUAAUUUAGUGUUCAAAGCAGUCAGUUGCUGUAAAAUCUGAUCCAUUGCAGUGGGUUCAAAAGCCAUGGGUACAGGAUGAUAAAUUUUACCACUUCUAAGGAUCAUACAUUAACCUAGGUCUCUGAUACCAAAUCUGAUGCAGGACGGGUCAAACCAAUCCUACAUGUAAAACUCCUUAGAUGUGGUAGACAAAAAUUUUGCUAAGAUAAAAUUAAACGAGCAAAAAUAUUUUUUUGUUUUUUUUUUUUUUUUUUUUUUUAAAGAAAUGAACGUUCGAAAAGAAAAUUAAUAAAGUAAGAAAAGUUGAUCAGAUAAGCGAUUGUACCAUACGACAUCCAGCGAAUGCAUGAUUAAACUAUUACGAUUAGUCCAGAUCAUCCACAAUCUAUUUGCAACAUCCUCCUAAUCAUGCUUGUAAAUACCGCGUAAUCGAAUUUCGCUCAACAAAAAAUAAUCAAGUAUCUUGCCAGAUCAAAGAGACUAAAAUUUUUCUGAAAUUUAGGAUAAAAACAAGUCUACGAAUUUCCCCGAGAGAAAAAAGAAAUCAAAACAUGAUAUAGACCAAGCUUUUAUUACCAACAGAUAAUAUACAUAGAGGGAGGUAUAGAAGAAAUACUAGCUUGGGAUAUAAGCCGGGUUCAUCCAAUAUUAUGCUGCUGCUGCUUGUUGUUUCAAAACCUGCGCAGGAACUUGAUGACGUGUGCAGGAAAUAAAGUCACCUCGGGAGGUGCGCCCAAGGAGCUUCGUCUCCAACUUCUUCCUCCUGCUGCUUGCACAAGUUUUCUUCUCUCACUAUCAACCCCUUUAUUUUCUAAAAUCUUAACCAAACCUCACAAAUAGGUAGUCAAAAUUUGUAGAAAAUUAAGAGGAACUCAGAUCCAACAAAAUAUUAAAACUCUGGACCUCGCCAGAACCGGAAACCCUCCGGGAAAAAAAAUCUCUCUCAAAAAACCUUUGCAAGAAAAGUUCAAAAUUAUAUUCAAUAAUCAUCGUCCUCUUCAUAAAACCUUGUAGGUUAUUUAUAUCCUAAUUACAUCCGAGAAUAACCGAAAAAUCUUAACCGAAAAAUCUUAACUAAAGAUUUAUCUAAAAGNUUUAUAUCCUAAUUACAUCCGAGAAUAACCGAAAAAAAAAUCUCAACUAGAGAUUUAUCUAAAAGAAAAAUAACCGAAAAAUCUUAACCGAAAAAAUCUUAUCUAAAGAUUUAUCUAAAAGAAAAAUAUAACAACUAUCCCUAACAAGAAAAUCUUAAAAAUAACAGAGUAAAUCAAGAAUAAUUUUCAGAUCCAUAUAGCGGGUUCGGGCGCCAACUUGCGUCGCCUUCGUUGAUAGACCUGAAAUUCGGGUGAUGAGACGGGUCGGGUUCGGUUUGCAUCAGAUCCUAGGAUGGAAUGAUCUCUAAAGUCACAUCAAUAUGAUUAGUACAAUUUUUUUUUUCUUUUUUUUUUGAGAGAGAUAGGGCCCACUUCAUCUAUUUCAUUUAGAAAUAAACUUAACUGGAAAUGUGAAUCAACUAGGAUUCGAACUUGGGACCUCGGGUACCAACCACCAAGCCCUUUGAUACUUGCUCUAGGGACGGUCGGUAGUACAAAAAUUUUCAUUCUAAGAUAGGUGGGGUAUAGAUAUCAUACAGCUCUUGAGAAGUGUGUGAAUAACAUUGCUCUAAAAGAUUACACGGAGAGAAUUCUCCAAAUUAUCUAUUUGAGAAUAAGGAAUCUAUUGCCAUGUAGAUAUUGGAUUCUAUAUCUCGAGACAAUUUGGUAAACUAUCUGAAACUUUUCUUUCUUCCACUACUAGCGGUUCCAAAACUUUUUUUUAGACCCAUUUACUAAAAUUUAUAACGUGCACAAAAAAUAACAACAAAAAAUUUCAAUUUUGGUUUACUAAUAGCCAUAUUCUAAUCAUUUUAGCAAAUAAAGUUGUGAUAUUUAAUAGUAAAAACAUAAAAAGAGUUGUUAAACCCCAGUAGGAUAACAAAUAUUUUAUUUUUUCGAGUUAAUUUUUUAUUUUUACUAAAAAUCUUAUAAGGGUUGCCUAAACCCUAAAGUAAAAAAUAGUUUAUGCACUACAACAGAAUUAAGUUAUAGCAACACAUGUUUGAGACACUUUUGUAUAAGUGUCACAUUUAUGCUAAAACUUAAAAAAAUCCUACUAAUGCUUAAAUAUAAAGUCCAAUCCAACUAAAAAUAAAAGGGUAUUCUACUCAACCCACUCCACUUAGCUCAUUCGGCCCGAUUACAAACAGAAAAGAAAAAUCGAUUAUCAUUUUUUCUUCUCCCCUCACUCAAUCGACUGAAUCCUAGACGAAGAUCAUUUCCUCUCGUCCUCCUCCGCCACCGCAGCCAACGAGGUAGAGUUCCGGCGGUUGCUAGAUGCUUAAAUAAAUAUUGGUAAAUUAACAGCACUCUUUUAGAUUAUAGCAACACUCUUUAACUGUCACUAUAUAUUUAGCGACCCCACAUAUAGCAACACUUUUCAAAAGUGUCGGUAAAUUUAGCCAGCAACACUUUUUUGACCUAUACCGACAUUUAAAAGUGUCGCUAUAGACCAUUUUUGUUGUAGUGAUGUUUCUCAGGUCCUAUUUUAUUUUUUAAAAGAAUUAUUAUUUUGAAGUUAAUGAGUCUAUAAAAUAUUUUGAAUCCACUAAUAGUUUAAGAAAGGCUAAAUUAUAGAAAAUUCUCCGGUCAAUGCCCGUUUUUCACUUUUCAUCCUGUCAUUCAAAAAUCUAUAUUUUGCCUCCUUACAAAAUAAAAAAUAUUCAAUUUGGCCCCGCCGUCAGUCUUCUGUUAGGGUUCCAUUUAUAUCAUAUUUUUAAUAUCCAAAAUAUUCCCUGAAACCCUCAUUUUCCUCACUGUCGUCCUCGGCCGCGUCACGUCGCGCUCUGCCGCCUCACCCUCGCCCACCUCUCUGUCCAUACCCACACACACGCCCUCGCCCUCCUCCGCCGCCUCACCGUGGCCCUCGCCCUCGCCCUCGCCCUCGCACUCGCCCACCCUGAUCUUUCAUCCUACAGUCGUCGAAAUAGAGGGGCGGCAAGGGUGCUGGAGAAGUGGGGGAGUAAUUAAGUGGAGGAAAGUAAGUCGGGGCUGGGGUCGAGGGAGGUGCGAAGAACGGAGGAGGAGAGGCUAUAGCUAAGGACGAGAGGCAUCGGAUUGGGGAGGAGACGAAGAGGUUGAGAGACAAUUUAGUCAUUUUGUCACAGCGUACCUCCUGUGAACAAUUUUUAUUUUUUAAAGGGGCAAAGUGUAGGUUUUUGAAUGAUAAGAAGAGAAAGUGAAAAAGCAGAUAUUGACAAAAAGAUUUUUUAUAAUUUAGCUUUUAAGAAAAAUAAAUUUUAACUAUCUUAGCAAAUUAUCUCGAGAUGUGGGAUCUAAGGCUUAUAUGGCAAUAGAUUUCACAUUAUCACAUGAAUAAUUUGAGGAAUCCUCCCCAGCACAAUUUGUCUCUUCUAAACCCCAAAAAAGAAUAUACAUCUUACAACCUAUCUAUCAAAAUGAGUUAAUUGUGUUUGGUGGUCCCCAACCUUGACCUGAUUUUUCAUUUUAGUUCAAACAUUUGAAUUUGGAGAAAUGCUACCUGUACACUCCAUUUUAGGAUAUACAUUUUAAAUUCCCUCAAUCCUAGAGUUUAAAAAACUCUUAAAGUUUUAGUUAAAAAAAUAUAUAUUGACAAUAUAAGAACCAAUUUUGGUCUUUGGAUGAAGGGGUGUAAGAUACACACCCGUUUUUGAAGUAUAGAAAAAGUUGUGUUCUUCAAUUUGUGGGUAAACUUUAAUUUGCUCUCUUGUGGCAAAAAGUUGUGUUUAAUUAUCUUAUAAUUUUAUUUUUAUUUCAUAGAAAAAAAUGUAUUGUCAAAUGGAAUAGUAAAGCGAAAUUUUUUGACAACCGUAGAGUAAUACUUUGUUUAAGAAUAGAUUUUUACAUUAAAAUAAUAAAAUUAUAGAAUAAUUAAAUAUAACUUUUUUGACCAUUGGGCAUUAAAGUGAAAACUCCUAAACCAUAUGGUAGCUAAGUGUAACUUUCUAAGCCAUAUGGUAGCAAACUAAAAUAUGUUAAACCAAUUGAAGCCUAUCCCAUAGUUUUUGCAAUUAGUUCCUUAACCUUUAAAAUAAAUUAAUUGCACCAUUGGCCCCUACCUCCAUCUUUCCCUUUUUUUUCACUUUGGUCUCUAAUUGUUUCUUCGAAAUGCGCACAUAUUUGUAUCAAGCUCAAUUUCAAUAAUUGUAGAAAAUAGAGAGAUCGGGGACCUAAUAACGAAAAAAAGGUUAGAGACGAGUGAAAAACCAUAUAAAAGUUAGUAACCAAUUUGCAAUUAACCAAAUAAACGAUGAAUUCUAUUUGUACUUUGUACACACCGAUUGAUUGAUGAGUUUCAUAUCUUACAUUCCGUCUAUUCAAUAGAUAAGGUACUUUUAUUAGUCAUAUUAAGUGAGUAGUAAAUGACGCUCAUCCAUUAAAUACAUAGGGUGUAAAACAUACACUCAUUUUUAGAUGUAUAUAAAUAGCAUUACUCAUUAAUUAACAACAAGCCACAAUAAUUGAUAUAUUUUUAGGAAUGACAUGAUUUCAAAUAGUUUGAUGUUA
Molecule: long non-coding RNA, 83911 nt
Filed under: Ananas comosus (pineapple)
Lineage: Eukaryota; Viridiplantae; Streptophyta; Magnoliopsida; Poales; Bromeliaceae
Description: long non-coding RNA (ACOM_LNC020886)
Source: RNAcentral